AUUUAUCCAUGCACAUUGCACAGGGUGGACUUGGUGGCGCUCAAGCAUUUGCGAAGUCAGAUAAAUUGGUGAAUAUGCUAAAGAAGCAAAAGGAAUCAAAUAGACCUUAUGGUGCUAUAUGUGCAUCCCCAGCUUUAGUGUUGGAGCCCCAUGGCUUACUCAAGGUACGACCGUUUCUGCUUAAAUUAUUUACUCAGAUUUGGAUCACCCAAUCUGAACUUGAUGAAGGAUUAUGAUGUUGUGUGAUUUUAUGAAUGUGGUCGUAUCUCAUGUAAGUCAGUGAUGAAUUAAUUGGAGUUUGCUGACAAAUUAGAAACUGAAAAACUGCUGCUGCUUCAUUAGUUACAUUACCCAAAGAGUUAAAAUAAACAUCCCAAAUUUUGUCCCAAAUUCUGUCCCAAAUGAUAUGGCAUUUAUUGAGUGAUUGUAUUAUCUAACCAACCAAUUGAUGAAUGUCACAUAAUUUGAGAUGGUUUUUUGGGAUAAAGAAUUUGGGAUUUUUACCCGCAAAAAUCCCAAGUACUUCCUGCUCCUGCAAUAUCAUUGCUGUGUAUUUGCUUUCCCCUUAGACAUAUUCAAUUGUGGUUCAGGGUAAAAAAGCUACAGCUUUUCCUGCUAUGUGCAACAAGCUGUCAGAUCAGAGUGAAAUCGAAAACAGGGUUGUGGUUGAUGGCAACCUCAUCACCAGUAGAGGGCCAGGAACUUCUAUGGAGUUUGCACUGGCAAUUGUGGAGAAGUUUUUGGGCCGCAACAAGGCACUUGAGCUUGCAAAGAUAAUGCUUUUCACUCGCGCCUAACGUUUGUAUGGGGACCUGUCUACUAUUAAACUAGUGUGUUUAUUUCUGUAUUGCUACUGCUUGUAGAGAGGGGAAAUGGAAACUUGAAUUCAUGUUUGAAUAUGGAUUCACUGUGUGGGUUUGUACAGCAGUUUGGUUUAUAAAUAAAUGAGUUCAUGGAGUCACUUCAAAUAUUCGGAAUAAACCUGAGUUUAGAUCUGUUAUCAAUGGUCGGAGUCCAAUUGCGAUCGACUCACUGGGAAUUUUAAUUAUGAAUCAUGUUAUAUUCCACCUUUCUCAUAAAAUGUUAACUCGAUUUACAGGAUAAGAAGGAAAAGAAAGACGCUAAGAGAGGAGCAGACACCCAAAAAGAGUUGACCACUUUGUUGGAACAUAAAUCUCUAGAAUAUUGAAAUAAAACACAUACCAUAUCUAGUAUCAAGUAUGUAUGUGCAAGAAGAUACAAAUUUGAAGAUCAGAUUUCUCAUUUCAAUUUAUGUUCUGCUUAGAGCAAUGGCUCUUAUUCCACAAGCACAAGCAGGAAAGAGUACGCACGAAGUUAAGAAACACACAUUGCAAAAGUUGCAUUAACUACUUGCGGCAACAUCAUCCAAGAACUUGACUUUAAUCUUCUUGAGCUUCGCUGCAGCAUCUGUCAUAUGCAUUCUCUUGUCAGGUGACUCCAUACAACAAUCCAAUGCCAAAUCCAUGAUGCUUAAUAAACAAUCCAUUUUGGCAGAAAAAGCUUGCUCUUCUCGCACCAAAUUUGCGUCAACAACUUCACUCAAUCUGUGAGGUAAUGACUCCUUCACCCAUCUCCUUAAACUCAUUUCUUCUGUGAACAUUUGAUCGGUGGGCCUCUUUCUCGUGAAAGUUUCCAUCAAUAACACACCAUAGCUGUAGACAUCACAUUUGGCUGAAACAAUUCCUUCUAAUCCAUACUCUGCAUUUUUUAAUUUUAAUUAUGAAACAAAUGAUAAAACAAAUAAUUUUUUUGAUAAUUAAGGUAACCCAAACUUUGCUCGUGCUUGAAAAAAGAGCAAAAAUUUUAAUUACAAUUGAAACUUUACCUGGUGCCAUAUAACCAAUUGUAGCCAUUGUCAUGGUUUGUGUCACACAAUCUUCUCCUUCACCUAAGAGUUUGGAAAUGCCGAAGUCGCACACAUGUGCCAUCAUAUUUUCAUCCAAGAGAAUGUUGGUGGGCUUCAAAUCACAAUGAAUUAUAGGUGCCGACGAAUGACCAUGAUGGAGAUAUUCAAGAGCCGACCCCACAUCUAUCAUUAUAUUCAACCUCUCUAGAAUGUCUAAGAAAUAAUUGUAAGAAUACAACCACUUCUCGAGACUACCAUUUGGCAUGAACUCAAGUACCAAUGCUUUGAAAUCUGGAUUAGAACAACUGCUAAGGAUCUUUAUGAGAUUUCGAUGACGAACAUUCCGUAAAACUUCACAUUCAGAAUCAAAACUCCUAAAUGCUCUCUCUAGUUGCAGAUUGAAAAUCUUUAUUGCAACAUUAGUCCCGUCGGAAAUGGUUCCUUUAUAAACUGAUCCAAAACUACCUGUACCCAGCAAGUUACAUUCAUUAAAUUCAUCAGUUGCUCGUUGAAUGUCAAGGUAGGAUGUUCUUCUCCAUGUUGCAAGAGGUAGGAAAUCUUCGUGAUCUGAUUUUUUUGUACUCCUCUUUCGGCAUCUUAUGUACAUAAUGAUGAUAAUCACUAUAAGUACAGAGGAUACUAUCGGAGGCAAAAUAUAUUUAAGGACAAUUAGAGCAACGUUCUUGGUGCUUUUGCUGUCACCUUGUUUGCAAGGUGGGACUCGGAGUUUAGGUGGACCACAGAGUGCAUAAUUUCCGAAAAAUGAUUCAGUUGACAAGUUUUUAAAAGACCCCUUAACAGGAAUUUCCCCUUCUAGCCUAUUAUGAGACACAUUAAAUUGUUUGAGAUGUGACAAUAUCUCCAAUGACUUAGGAAUUUUUCCAGAGAGAUUGUUGCCGGAGAGAUCUAAGGAUUCUAAGCUUAUCAAACUGCCAACUGAUUCAGGAAUAGGUCCCUGAAAUUGAUUACGAGCCAAGGAUAGAGUUUCUAGAUCUAUGAGGGCACCAAUGGUUGAUGGAAUAUCACCUAAUAAUUGAUUCCUUGAUAAAUCUAAAACUGUCAAGACCUUUAACUUUUGUACAUUGGAAGGGAGAGGACCAUUUAAUGAAUUAGACGACAAGUUUAUCUCUAAGAUGUACUCAAGGCUCCACAAGGAUGACGGUAUACUAGAAGUGAGCUUGUUGGAGCCUAAGCGGAGUUCUCUUAGAGAUGUCAAACUCGCCAAGCAUGGCGGUAUAUGUCCAGAGAGCUUAUUUCCAUUUAACCUUAUUCCGUAUAUCAACUCCAAGUGGCAAAGAUCAUAGGGAAUGGAUCCUUCCAAAUUAUUUUCUUCAAGAGAUAAACCUUGUAGCCGCUUAAGUCUUCCCAUCGUUGGUGAAAUAGUUCCAUUCAAGUCAUUGAAGCCGAGGCUUAAGAGGAUCAGGCCACGCAACUUACCAAUUUCUUUAGGAAUGCUGCCCCCGAGUUUGCAGUUGGAUGCAUAAAAUUGUCGAAGAGAAGCAGAGAAAUUUCCAAUCACUGGUGGAAGGAUGCCACCCAAUGGAUUAUAAGCUAAGGCUAAAAAUGUUAAAUUUCUGCAAUUAGUCAGAGAAGAGAGAAAACUCCACUGAUCUGCUGAAGAUGAUUCUGUCGUCAAGUUAUUAAAUGCUAAGCUGAGCACGUCGAGGUGUCUCAAGUUGCCAAAUGUAUUUGGAAUAUGGCCCGAGAAUGAGUUGAAGCCCAAGUCUAGGGCAACGAGUUUAGUAGCAUUGGUGAUAGAGUGGGGAAUUAUCCCUAUAAGAUUAUUGGCCGACAAGGCUAAAUACUCUAUGUUCGGAAGCGAGUGGCCAAUCGUUGACGGUAAGCGGCCUGAGAGUUGAUUGCCCCCCAGAGUAAGGAUUCUCAUGGUUGAAAUGUUGAAGAUCGUGGGUGGAAUGAGGCCACUUAAAUUGUUGUCAGCAAAAACAAGAACCUCCAAAUUUUCCAGAUUGCCAAUCUCGGUUGGAAUUUGACCUGCCAUCAGGCCAACAUUGAGGAGUCAUUGAGCUUUUAGCUUAAGGUAAAUUGAGUUUGACAAUGUUACCCUUGAAAAUGUAAAAGGAUCAAAUUAAUUUUAUUACACAAUAAUUUCAGCCAAUAAUGUUCUUUACACAAUAAUUCUGCAAAAUAUGCAUGCAAAUGGAAAAAUAUGCUUCAAUUACAAGAGGUGGUGGAGCGUACCUCGAAGAUUGCUGAAGCUAAGAUCCAGAUACACGAGUUUACUCAAAUUUCCAAUCCUUGAAGGAAUAUUUCCACCAAUAGUAUUGAACUCUGCACGCAGCGUCUCUAGCCUUGAUAAGUUGAAGAGAGAAUUAGGGAUGGGACCUGUGAAACUGUUAUUAUAAAGUCUCAAUAUUCGGAGUUUAGAUAAGACACCAAUCCAUGAUGGAAAGCUUCCGCUCAAUUUAUUGUAAGCGAAACUCACGACUCUGAGUCGACGUAAUUGCCCCAAUUCUUUCGGCAGAUGGCCAUGAAAAUUGUUCUCACUAAUGUCAAGAGACACUAGAAAUGAGAGAUUUCCCAAGUGUAGUGGAAUGGUGCCUCCGAGACCCAUAUCUGAAAGAUUCAAGGCAGUGACUCGUUGAUGGCGUGAACCACAAGAGAUACCAACCCAGCUACAUAUUGGAUAAGAUAUAGACCAAUUAUUUGCCAGGGCACUCCGAUAAUCAAGAAUGUGGGCUUUGAAUGCCAGAAGAGCUGAUUGAUCUGUUGUUAAAUCGUUUAAAGUCGUCACAGCUAAGCUAGCAAUGAGAUACUGUAACACUAACACCGACAUAGGAACAAAGAAGAAUGAUAAGCGCAUAUUGGUCGUUUUUAGUAGUAGUUGCAAGGCGAGAUUGAUACAAGUUUUAAGUAAAGGAAAUUAGCAUAUACUUAUAAUGAGACAUAUGAAUUUGAAAAUAAGAGCAGAAAAAAUAUACAGGAGACUUGCAAAUUGUUAUAUUCUGUCAUUGAGCGAGCCGUCCAAGUAAACGCAUUUACACUUGAACCCUAAAUAAAGGCCUUAUGGCACUUUAAUUGCCAUAAGGAAGAAGAUGCUCAACAUUGCCAAAAGUGUUUUUCUUGAAGUCUCGUCUUCCGUAAUGUUUGUAAAAUCGAGGUUUUACCAUCUCUAAUUAAAUAUUUACUCUUGAUUUAGACCACGUAAUCUAAACUUGACGAAAAAUUAUGAUCUUAUGUGAUUUUAUGAAUGUGGUCUUAUCUCUUAUAAGUCGGCAAUGAAUUAAUUAAAGCUUGCUGACAAAUUACAAGCUCAAAAAUAUCUUUUACUUAUUCACAAUCUUAUUUCAUUUUUUUAUAACAUAAUAUUAAAAAUUUGUCUAUUAAAUUAAUUUAAUAAUUUUUUUAAUAAAAAAUCUCAUUGACGACCAAACAACUAAUUUUUUUUUUAUAAAAGCUUUGCUUGUUAAAAUUAUGCUGAAAAAAACUCUACUUAAGUAAGUUCUAUUUUUUUUAUAAAAGCCAUUUUAUUUCUUUAUCUUUUUUAAUUAUUAUUGGAAAAGUAGCGCAGCUUAUCAAAAAAGGAAAGAAAAAAAAAAGUCAAAGUGACGAGUGGCUUGUUUUUUAAUUUCAAAGUCAAUGCAAAGUAAAAGUACCGAAAUAAUCAGUUUUUAAAUCCAAAUAAGUGGCAAUAAAGGGAGGUCUUGUUAGGGGUGUUCGCGGAUCGAAUUUUAUGGAUUGGACAUCAAUCCAUAUUCGAUCCACGAUUUUACGGAUUAUAAAAUUUCAAUCCAAUUCAAUCCACGGAUUUGUAAAAUUCAAUCCAAAUCCAAUCCAUAAAUCUGCGGAUCAGAUGCAAAUUUGACCUAAUCCAUAUCCAAUCUACAAUUUUGCGGAUUGGUUUGUGGACUGAAAAUUUUUAAUUCUGUCAAAUCCACGAACUAACUAAAUAAAAAAAUUUAAUAUAAAAAUAAUUUUACUACGGAUCAAAUUUAAAAUUAAAUAAGAUUUAAAUAAAUAAAUUGCUUAAAUAAAGCUAGCAAAUACAUUUAAAGUUUCAAAAUAUAACACACCAAAAUGAAAAAAAUAUCAUUCGUUUUAGAUCAAGGAAAUUAACUAUUUAGUAAACUAUAUUUGUUUAUUUAAUUAUUUUUUAUUUUUUAUUAUUAUCGGAUAUGAUAUAAUAUAAUGUUAAUGUAACUAUAUUUUAACUUAUUUAUUUACUAGUAAGUACUAAUAACAUAUUUACAAGUUUUAUUUUUAAUUAAAUAAAUACUUUUUAUUUUUUUGCGGAUUCGCGGAUUUUUACCGAUUUACAGAAGUAGAUCCAUAUCCAAUCCACUGAUUGCGGAUUAUCAAAUUUUCAAUUCAAUCCAAUCCACCAAUCCACGGAUCAGACGGAUUGAGCAGAUCGAAUUAGAUUAUGAACACCCUUAGGUUUUGGUGUGCAUUGUUGAAAACUUGGAAGUCUAUAUGACCAUUUAACCAAACUAUAGGGGUAUAACUGUCACAAAUUUUUAAAAAUAAAUUUUACCAAACAUUUAAAUGAUUUUUUUUUCACAAUUGAUUAUUAAAUUCUAAGUGUUAGACUAUUGUAAGAAUACAAAUAAUUGACAUGGACAUAAUAUUAAAUAAAAUUUACUUAUAUAUAUAUAUAUAUAUAUAUAUAUAUAUAUAUAUAUAUAUUAUUGUUUGUAUAUAAAAAUUGCUAACUAAAAAAUAUUUAUAUUUUAUCAAUUUUAUUUCUUUUAUUUUUUUAUCUCAAGAUAAAUAUAAUAAUAACAAUCUCUCUAAAUUUAAUUAUUUUUGCUCUUUAUUGAAUAAGGAUAAUUUUGAGUUUCUGUAAUAUAUGUGAGGAUAUAUAUAAAAUUGUAUUAAAUAUAUAACUAUUCUCAAAAUUAAAUUUUAAAAAACUAGUUCAUUCUCACUUUUCAUUUAAUUAGGCAAAUGGCCACAGAAAUUGUUCUCCCUCAUAUCCAAAUAAACUGAAAACGAGAGAUUUCGUAAGUGUGGAGGGAUGAUGCCUUCGAAACCCAUCACUGAAAGAUUCAAGUUUGUGACUCUAUGGUAUGAGCACCACAACAUAUGCCAAUUCGACUGCAUAUUGAGUAAGACAUGGACCAAUUAUUCAAGAGAUUCAUGAGCCUUCGAAGUGAGAAAUAAAGCAAAUUAUGUGGUGGUCGUGGGUCAAUUGACUACGUUUCGUGAUCUACGUGCGAUUGCAACAGUCGGUUCAUUAAGUGAAAUUAAUGACUCGUCCACUAUAGUAAGAUACUGUCCUCAUUAGGUUGGUGCUGGGUCAAUUUUAUCCAUGAGUCAACUUACAUUAAUUUGAAUUAAUUUAUAAGAGUAUCUCAUUUUCGUUGAUUACGAGUUGUGAUCGAUGACAUGCACGAAAGCAGUCAAUUUACAGGUCAUUCACUAUAUAUAUGGGGUCUAUGGGUGGAUGGAUCUAACGUAAAUUAAGGGUUGAUGAUGACCCUCGACUUCUAACGACGACCAUCGAAGACGACCUUGACUUUACAUGCAAACACACAAUUCGCUCUCAUACAUUAUGUUUUAAAAUUUCUCCAUUUUCCGGGGCCCCGCUGUCGACCGUACACAGUUUAAUUUGUAUAUACAAGACCUCAUUGUUUCUAGCAAGCAUAGAGCCAUAGACCAUAUUAAUUCCAAUUACAUAAAUCUUCAUUUUUAUCAUGAUUUUGGAUCUCGAGCAGUGUGGAUAUAUCCAACCAGAUCCGCCUCACUGGCAUCCCAAUAUAUUUUAGAAUUGAGUAAUGAGUAUCAAUAAAUGUGUAAUUGUAAAUCUACAACGUUUAAUUUUAAUUUGAGGACUCAAAUGAAUUUAUCCAACAAUACCUCGUUAAAUUAAUAUUCCAUAAAUUUUUAACUUUAAUUAAAUAACAAAUUUUGUCCGUCCCAACUUAGGAUUAACGUGGUAAUUAAUAAUUUGAUAAAUUGUUAGAUAAUAAUUUUUUAAAAAAAUCUUAUUUUUUUAUUGGAUCAAACUGAUAUAUAAAUGAAUAAUUAAUUAAUUUUAAAACUAAAUUCAUGUUAUGUCAAUCAAAUGUUAUUGCAAAGAAGACUAGCAGCGACGCUUUGAAAGGUACACCAAAGCCUUUUGCACCUUCUCCUCCGUGACCACCAAUAGAUACUUCCACCAUUUCAACGUCAUGACAUGAUGUAAGUUUCUUUUGUAGAAUUUGCGAAUUGGUAAUCUUUUACACGCGUAUAUUUAUAUCAUUGUAUAGUUAUAGAUUCAAUUACUUUUAUGAUGCAUUUAUUAAUUUGGAAUUGAAGUAGACAAGAAUGGGCUGUAAUGUGAAUGGAGAAUCGAAAUUAGAAUAAGUUAUUUACUUGAACUGUAGAAAUCGAAAUGAGUUGGAUUGUCAUUAAUGUGUUUACUUUGUCUUGGAAUCAGAAUUGAAAUAAGUUAGUUUAUAACAAAUUACUAAAAACUACUUAAUGAACUAUUGUUAUAAUUAUUAUUUUGUAUUUUAAUUAUUAUGAUUAUUUAUUAAAAAUUAUUAUUGUUAUUAUUACUUAUUGUUAAUAGUAUAUUAAUAUAUUAAUAAAUUAUAAUAAUAUAUUAAAUAACUAUAAUAUAUUAAAAAAUAUACUUGUAUUUACAAGAAAUGACUGAUAAAAUUUCUAAAAUCGUCUUCCUCCCUAAAACUCUUAAUGCCACAGCCCUAAAAAUUAAAAAGAUUUGGGAAUUAUAUGUCUUUUUUAAAAUAUUAAAGGGUGUUUAUUUCCUUAAACGGUGGGGACUAAAAGUCCUAUUCCCAAACGAGUAGUGUGCCGGCGUUGGAGGCUAGAAAGACAAUUUGUUACAUUGCUUCAGAAGUGCUUAAUGGAAAUUUUGGUGAGGCAUCACAUAAUUUAAAGGAUCAGGCUACGGUGCAACUGUGGUACCGUACUACAGUUGCAUCCAGCCGUUUUAAUUCACUUAUAUUGGUGAGGUUCACUGGCAUCCAACGGCUGAAUGCAACUAUGGCACGGUACCACAGUUGCACCACAAGUUUCCCCUAAUUUAAAUUACUGGAAUUUGCAUCAAUGGUUUUUAUUGGUUUAUUUACUCGUCAACAAAUUACUGUAACUGCAGAAAACAGUGUAACACAUUGUAUAAUACGUUAAUACGUUAUAUUGGUCAGUGCUCCUACCAAGGAAAUCUUUUUAAGUUUUGUUAGCAGAAUAUUCUUGUAAGGGUGGAGGCAUAAGAGAUUAAUAAUUUAAUAUCUCUUGUUCAUUAGAAGAUUUUUUUUUUUUGGGAAAAAAAAAGAAGAAGAUGGUUUGUUUAAUGUUGAUAAAUUUUGAAGUACAAUUUUAUAGAUGUCGAAUGUGGGCAAAAAGUAAAGAAGCUCAAACACUUUUCUACAUCUAAACUAAUCAUUAGGAUUUAUAUUAACUAAUAAACCCUAAUAAUACGAGCGUUCAUAAAAACUUCAUAUGAACAUUGAACCAGCAUGGCAUCAUAUUGUAAUAAGUUGUACAGCUGUCAAUCUCUUAUUAGUCAGAUAUAUUCUGAGUUAGUUACAUGAAUGUAGUAUAAAUAUCAUACUCUGUACACAUUCUUAGUUAGUUACUUCAGUAGAAUUUUCUCUCCUCUACUCAAUUUUUAAGUUAUCUUUUAUAUUGGGGGCAAAUGAUAUUUUAUUAACGAAAUGAUUUUGCCCUCUUAAUAAGCUCUCAUUUCUCCGCUUUGAUCAACACAGCCUUCUUUUAUUACAUCAAAAUUCUUCCUCUUUCCAUCAAAAUUUCAUGGAUCUGCCCUUACGUAAAAUCAUAUGAGAGUAUAUAAUAAAAUUAAUUAGGUAUGUUUGGAACAUUUUUGGUAUCCUUAAGCUGAUUUUAUUUUUAUUUUUUUAUAGUAUAUAUUGUCAAAAGUAAAUGCUAUAAACACUUUCGGAAAAAAAGAUGAAGAGCACCUUUGGAGUAAUUUUUUCUAUAGGAACUAACAAAACAACUAAAUGAUGUAUGUAUCUCUAAGAUUUAUUAUUAUUAAUUUUUUUUUCUGUAGUUGACAAAGCAUCAUGAUUGUGUUGGAUGAUAAGAUUAAAGGUGGGAAUGGUCCGAAUGGACCAAUUUUUUAGGAUAAAAAAAAAAAUGAUUCAAUCCUGGGCAUGUUUGGCUAUCGAAACUAGUUGAUUAGUCUAAAGUUUAAUUCAAAAGUAAUGGGACUAUUAAUCCUUAGGAAAAUUAUCAUUUGUAUACUCUAUAGAUGCUCUGUUAUAUAAAAAAUUACAACACUUUGAGAGUGUAUCAAUCGUCCACCCUAAGUUGACAAAAUAUAUCUGCCGUCCAUCAAACCGUUACUUGCUGUUUAAAUAGGAUAGCGCCAGAGGGGUAAUUUGGUCUUUUCAUAUGAUACAAGUGAUAAUUCAAGGGUAUACAAGUGAUAAUAAAAGAAUUUAAAGGUAUACAAGUGAUACUUUUCAAGGGUAAAAUCAUCAAUUCGCUAUAAUUCCGUUAACUUUCAAACGACAGCUAACGGUUUAGUGGUCGGCAGAUAACUUUUUUCAAUUUAGGGUGGACGAUUGAUACACCCUCAAAGUGUUAUAGUAUUUUUUAUAAUAGAACAUCUAUAGGGUAUACGAAUGAUAAUAUCCCUAAUCAAUCCUUAAUUCAACUUAGGUUUAAGUAGUAUAUAAAAAAUCUUCUUUAUCACUCUUUUCAUUUUUAUUUAGAUUAAAAUUCAUAUAAAUAAAUAUAAAGAAUUAAUUUCAUAAUUUAUUUAAACUAAAAUUUUAUAUUAUAUUAAAUAUCCAAAUUUUAAUUCAAUAAUUUAUUUAUAUUAGAAUUUUAUGCAAUAUUAAAUCCCAAAACUUUAUUUAAUAAUUUAUUUACAAAAAUAUUAAUAUCAAAUUCAACAAUUAGUAAUAUAAUUUAAAAUAAUUACACUAUUUUAAUAGUUAUUUAGCUAUAUUAAAUUAAAUUUAACAUAUCCUUGUCCGAUACUAUACUAAACAAACGAUAGUACCUUAUAUAGUAUAGUCAAUCUAUUAUAAUAUAAUUCAAUCUAAUCGAACGUGCCAAAUCAGUACAUUUUAAAAAAUAAUUUUAUAACAGCUUUAAAAAAGCAUUUUUUAAGUUACUUUUACAAAAUGUGCUUUCUCCGAAAGCACUCGUGAAAUGCAAAUUCUCACAAAACACGUGGUGUGUUCAAUUGGGCCUCCGCCCAUUAAAACUACAACCAUGAAAGCAAGCAAUGUUCAUUGGGCUUUAUUCUCUCGAGAAAACUUAUACACGUAGCCCACCACCGGCGCCCUAAUUUGUCUCCACCUCUCUAAAUAGAGUUGGACUAUUGGCACCUUUCCAAAAUUCUUCUGAAAUUCCUUUUUCAAUAAUAUUAAGUUUAAUGCUAAAAAUAUCCUUAUUUCCAAAUAAAUACAUUUAAUUUGUGAAUAUUUUAAUUUUCUAUUAUUUUCUCGCUCCUCACAAACAAAUUUUUAUGGGCGAUAAACUUCUUGAUAAAAAUCAAUUAAUUAAAUAAAAUAUCUAUAAGAUUAUAAUGUAAAAAAUUUUAUUAUGAGUCUUAAAAAAAGACAGAUAAAUUUAUCAGAAUGUGUUUUGUUUAUUAUCAAUAGAUUAUUUUAGUAAUUAAAGAAAAAUUUAUAGAGAAUUUGAGAAAAAAAAUUACGUGUGAGUUUGAUAGCAAAGAAAAUAUAAGAGUUUUUUUUUAAGAGAGAAAAUACAAAAGUUUGAAGUGAGAUAAAAUAGAUAUAAGAUAUAUUAGAGUAUUUAUCCUUAAAUUUAAUUGUAACAAAAGAGAGGUUUUAAAAAGAUUUUGGAGGAGUGUCUCCAACUCCUCUAAAUAUUAUUGAUUGAUGCAUAUGUUUCACAGCAUAGAGUGGCUUACAUUGGAGCUUUUCUAAAAAAAUGAAAAUUUCAUUUAAUUAUUUAUUAUUCACGGAUAAGAAAUUAACUUCUUCUUUUUUCUAACGCCACAGUCUGGUGAGCUUGCCUAGUGUGUUUUAGUUGGAUAAAAAUUUUAGCAAAUGCUUCUUGGCAAGGAAGCUUAAAUAGUUUAACCUGAAUUUAACCUCGAAUGAACCCAAAUUAUUAAACCGAACCAAUCCGAAUUGUGAAUCUGAAUUUCAGUUCGAUUCAGUUUGGUUCAGGUUCGUAUUUUCAACUCGAACAAGUUUAAUGCUCCAAUUCGAUCAGGUUGUAACCUAAACCGAAACUCGAAAACCCGAACUGAAACUCAAUUUGGCCACCCCUAAUGAGAACUGAGAAGUACCUGGAUCGUAAAAGAAAGGUUUUGAUGAUAAUUUUGGCUAAAAAUCUGUUUCUUAACUUCUAUUUUUAUUUUUUUAUGCUGUAUUUUAGUUGCUGAAUAGGUUAUAUAUAGAAGUUCAGUUAAUUUUGUUUUGGAUGAAAAAUCAAUGAGUACUUCUGUGAUUAAUAAGUGAAAUUUUGUUUGCAUCAUAUAGUCAGCUAUAAUGCAUUGGAUGGCUUUGACUCAGCAUGGAAGAAAUGCUCUCCGGCAGAUUACUAAAGAGAGCUCUGAUCGCGUGUUGCAUCACCCAUUGCUAUUUUCUUGUCAAGGAGUCAGAUACAGACGAUUGGAAGUGAUUCUAACAACAAUGAGUAAAUUGAUCUUUUGUUUUCCCUUUUCACCAGUUUGGAUCUCUUGACUAAUCAGCCUGUUUGAGUUUUAACUUGUGUAUUAAUGAUUGGUUUUAUAUGUUCAGAAAGUUGACAAGCUUGGUAAAGCCGGUGAAACUGUGAAGGUUGCUCCGGGGUAUUUCCGGAACCACUUGAUGCCCAAAUUGCUUGUUGUUCCAAAUAUCGAGAAGUUGGCUCAUCUCAUUAGAGAGCAGCGCAGGUAUUUGUUUUUCAUGAUUCUUCUCGGUUGAACUUUUUUUGUUUGGGUUGAGAAUGGUUAAUUCUAGUGAUACAGAAAUUUGCUCAUUUUCUUUAGAUACUUUGUUUAGCCAGUUUGUCAAUUAAUUUGACUCAUGGCUUCAAAUUAUUGCUAAAUUCUCAGUUUGGAAAUAUUUGUGAUUUUUGAAGGGGCAUUACAAGUUAUUAAAGUUUGUUGUGCCUGUGACUUAUUUUCAUCAGAUUUGCCAGCCUGAGGAAGAGGAAGAGGAAGAGGAAGAGGAAGAGGUUAGAGUUAUCCGGAAGUCUGAGGACAAUAUGAGUAGAGAAUUUGAGAAGGCAGCUAGGCGCCUAGAGAAUGCUCGACUGGUUUGUGGCCUAUCUUUUAAUUUCUUCAGAUUCGGGACAAAUUGUCUUGGAGUGAACUGAUGUGUUGCCUUUUCCUUUUUUUUUAGCUUGAAUGAUCUAUUUGCUACAGUUAGGAGUGAACGUCGUAAUGAAUUUUAAAUUAUACUGUUUGUUUCGAUUUACUUUUCUAUCUUAGCUCCAUCAAGUGAUUAGUGGAAUGCUGGUCCUGUGAGUAUAAAAUGAAACUCCUUAAGUUAAAUUCCUUAGGCUGUGUUUAUUUUCUGUAGUGGGAGCGAGGAGUGUAAAUUCUUUUCAUUUCAGUAUUUAUUUCAACAAAUUGGCUCCGGAUUGAGAAUCCCACUCAGUAGACCCCACCCAUUUUUGGAGUGAGAUUCCCAUGGGGAGAGGUGGGAGUGAGAUUCCCACUCCCACCUCUCCCUUUUUUUACAUUUUUUUUAAUUUAAUUUAAUUUAACUUAAUUUAAUAUUUAAUAAAAUAAAAUAAAUAAUAUCAUAUUUAUUUGAAUAAUAUUAUUAUAUUUAUUUUAAAAAUAAUAAUACUAUAUUUAUUUAAUAUUAAUAAUUAAUAAUAAUAAAUAGUUUAUUCUAAGAAAAUAUUAAUUUUGUCCUAAAUAAUAUUAUAUUAUUAUUUUAUAUAAUAAUAAAUUUAAUAUAAUUAUAUUAAAUAAAAUAAAAUAAUGUUUCAUUUUAUAUUUACCCUUCUUUUUUACCCUCUUUUUAUUAAAUUUACUAUAAUUAUAUUUAAUAAAUAUUUAAAUAAUAUUAUAUUUAUUUAAAUAAUAUUAAUAUAUUUAACUAAAUAAUAAUUUGGUUUGAUUCUAAGUCUAAAUUACUUAAAAAUAAUAUUAUUAUAUUAAUACAGAAUUAAUAAUAUUACUUUUAUACCAUCUUUAUUUGAAAAUAUAUUAUUAUUAUUAUUAUAUUUAUUUAAAAAUAUUAGUAUUAUAUUUAUUUAAUAUUAAUAAUUAAUACUAAUAAAUAGUUUAUUCUAAGAAAAUAUUAAUUUCAUACUAUGUUAAUAGUAAAAUAUUUCAUUUAUAUUGCCCUUAUCAAUAAUUUUUAAUUUAUAUAAUUAAAAUUAAAAUUAAUAAAAAAAUGUGAUGUUCAUAAUUAAGAAUAUUAAUAAUUAUUAUAAAUUUACAAAUAUAAAUGUUUAUUCAUUAAAUAUAUUUUUUAUUAACUUUGUAAUUAAAAACUAUAAUUCUUUAAAUAAGGAUAAAAUUGUAAUUUGAAACUAUUUACUCCCAAUCCGAGACAAACUAAACACAUAAAUUGAAUUCUGAUCUCCAUUCCAUGCUUUCAUUUUAGUGUAAGUAAACAACAUACUCCCACUCCCAAUCCUAAGAUUCCCACUCCAAUUCAAAAAGUAAACGCUACCUAAAUACAAGUAAUCUUGCUUUCAGAUAUGAAUUAUCUGAUGGAUGUUGUAUUUUCAAGGUAUUGAGGAGAUUCCCCAAUAUUGAAAAAUUGCGUUCCCGUGCAUCAAAAGAUGAUCCCAUAGAAUUGCGUUCACCUGUGACAAAAGAGGAGCUUGUAGUUGAGGUAUGGAUUUUUAUAUUUCUUGGUUGUUUUUAUACUUGUUUCUCAUCAUAAUAGCAAAAGCAGUUUGUUCUGAGUGAUCUGUGUGGUCUCCUAUCAAUGACUGCCGUUUCUAUCAUUUAGUACUAUUGACUAUGUGUGUAUAAAUAUUUUGUUUUUACCAUGUAAUUUCAUAUUCGAUGCAUUUCUAAUACAUUGCAUAGCGUCCAUGAAUGGGAAUGAUAAAAUAAAUUUCAAGCGUGUUUCAAUAGAUGAAAAAACUUGGAACGAUUUAGAAGGAUUUGCUGAUUAAAUAAUUUUCCAAUUUGUUUGCUUGGAGGAAUUGAAUAGUUAACUGAUUAAAGGAUUUCAAGGUGGUUCGGUCCCGCUGGGCAUUGUCAAUAUCAACGGUCAUUAAUUCCUAUUAUCUGAAAUUGAAUUUCCAGUGUGGCAUGGUAACUUUCUGCUAGGGUGUGAUUGUAUAGUAGCCAAUUGUGAGCAACAGAUCCGCAUAGUAAUAUAGAUUGAAAUUUUGCAUCUUAAUCCAUGAAGAUAUAGAUUUUGGCAAUAUUAUACAAGCACUGGGGAUUACCUUAAAUAUUCUGGACUUGUCAUUGAUAGAGUUUCUUUUACCUAGUUAUUGAUAUUUCUUUCAAUUUUCUAUUUUACUCAUACAAUUUAUACAAUUUUAGGUGGCAAGACAACUUUCGUUUUCUAUUGAGCCUGAAAACCUGCAUCUACCAUCACCUCUAUCUGCUUUUCGAGAAUAUGAGGUUCCUAUGCGCUUACCCAAAGCCAUCCCCCUACCGGAAGGAAAGGUCCAAUGGAUUCUCAAUGUUAAAGUCCGCGGCAAAUAAAUAUUUUUUAGUUAAUUUUUUAAUCAAUAAAAAAAGGUAAUUAAAAAUGUAAUUAAUAAAUUACUUAUUAGCAAAUUAAAAAACAAAUAUUAGCAUAAAAUAAUUGAUAUUUCAUUCUCUUACAACAAUCUUACCAAUUAUUAUUUAUAAAUUAAUUAAUGCAAGUUAAUUUAAAGUAAUGUUUAAUAUUCUUGUAACAACCUUACUAAUAAUUUUUUGAUAAAAAAAUUAAUUUAUUAAAUUAAUCCUAGAAGUAAAAUAAUAAUAAUUAAUUUGUAUUUUAUUUUUAAGAUUAAUUUGAUAAAUUUAAUUUUUUUUAACUAAUAUCUCCAAGAAUAUAGUUGUAACGAUAUUAUUACAAAAGGAAAAAAAAUAUAAGAUUAUAAUAUAUUUACCAGUAAGAAUAAUUUAAAAUAUUUUUUAAGAUAUAAAAAUUAAACGGACACUUAAUUAAAAAAAAAAAAAAAAAACUAAAUAAGUAGUUAGCUUUUAACAUUUCAACCUAGUGGUCAUACAAUCAUGGUGCGGCCCGGGAUGGCUGGCCCAGCCCAUCAUGUAAAAAUCCAUGUCACCCUCAUUCUUAAGCUGCUACUCUGCCACUUGCCACGGAGCUCCCCACAUCAUACCGUACCGAUGCCUCUAGAAAGCUAACUUUAAAAAAAUGGUAUUAAUAAGCGUACGCCACGUCACUCCUCACUCUCUUCUUCGUCACUUUCCUCUCACUCAACAUUUUCUCCCCAAACAAAUUCCUUCUUUGAAAAAUCGCAUUUUCUCCUUCACAGCAACCGCUACAAUGUCUUCAACUUCCAAGAAGGUAAUUUUUUUAAAUUUUAUUUUUUGUUUAGUUUCUUUCUGUUGCCUUUUUGUUUCGUUUUUUGAAUUUUCUGUGUCGUUUUUUUUUUCCCAAGGUUUUGGUGCCUGUUGCGAACGGGAGUGAGCCGAUUGAAGCCGUGAUAACGAUCGAUGUUUUGAGAAGGUCUGGAGCUGACGUCACGGUUGCGUCUGUGGAUAAACAGCUUCGUGUCGACGCGUGUCAUGGUGUCAAGAUUGUCGCUGAUGCUCUCGUGUCUGACUGCCGCGACGCUGUUUCUGAUCUUAUAGCUCUGCCCGUAUGUAUUGCAGCUCACCUCAGCUCAUGCUAAUUUAUGUGAUGUUUGUAUAAUUAUAGAUGAUUACUGCUGAUACUGAAUGUUAAAGCUAAAUAAUUCGUUCUUAAGUCAUCUUCAUUUAAUUUUCGAUUGAAAAUGAAAAAAAAAAUAAUUUUAAGCAAAGAAAAUGUUUAUUUUGUUUUAUUUUUAUUUUUAAAUUUUUGGGAUUUCCUUAUUGUGACUGUUGUCAUUCAUUAUAUGGUCCUAGUUAAAUGUUUCAAGUUGUUGUAGUCUGUGAAACUCUUUUCGAUAUUUGUUCUGGCAUGUACAUUUUUCCUUUCAAUUUAUUUUGUUGCUGAUACUUUGAUUAUGAUAUAUCCUUUUUUGUUUCCCUUGUAGGGUGGCAUGCCCGGUGCUACCAAUCUGAAAGAAUCUGAAGUAUUAGAAACCAUUGUGAAGAAGCAGGCUUCAGCUGGGCGUCUUUAUGCUGCUGUCUGUGCUUCACCUGCUGUGGCAUUAGGGUCUUGGGGUCUGUUGAAGGGAUUGAAGGUAAGAAUUAGAUAAGCCUUUUUUUAUGUUUGGUGUUCUUUUGGGAAUUGCAUUGAUAUUUGUGUUAUACAUCAGUUUUGCUCUCACCGAUGAUUGUUAAGUUCUAAUUUAUGGGGUUAUUCAUUUUUUGUAGGCUACUUGUUACCCGUCAUUUAUGGAGCAAUUAGCUCCUGCUUGUGCAGCAACUGUUGAAUCAAGAGUACAGCAGGAUGGUAAAGUUGUUACGAGUCGUGGACCUGGCACUACUAUGGAGUUUGCCAUUGCACUUGUCGAGCAGUUGUAUGGGAAAGAGAGAGCUGAUGAAGUUUCUGGGCCACUGGUAGUAACUUUUAUAGAUAAUGUUGUUUAAAAAAAUUGUGAGUUAUAUAAUUUGUGGAAAUUCAUUCUAAUAGGUUCAUCUAGUAUGUCAAAUUGGAAGGUUCAGAUGCUAAUAUAUUCCAAAAAAUUUGUUCAGGGGAAAAGUAUGACUUUUUGCAUUAGAGAUUCAUUAGAUGAAGUUGUAUACCUGCUGGCCCAUCUUAAUGUGGUGAAAACGAUGUCUGAUGAGACUGAUAUAAUUAUUGGAAUCUUGAUAAAUGCAUUUGUUGAGCUUGAAUGUCUCCACUGAUCACGUUCUUUUUAAUGUAAGUUCUUUCUCUUGGUAUUUGUCUUUGAAUCUUCUCUUCCUCAUGCUUUCGUCUUCACUGUCACCUUGUGCCUAGGUAAUGCGUGCAAAUCAUGGAGAUGAAUACACUAUUGCUGAAUUCAAUCCAAUUCAGUGGACAUUUGACAAUUCUCCCCAAGUAAGAUUUGACUUCUAGUUUCUUGUAGUUGUUUUUCUUCAUCCGAUGUUUUCAGGGAUACCCAUUUGGCAGUAUAUAAAAGUCUGUGAUAUCUUCUAUACAUAUACAUCAUUGGCUUCAGUCAUUUUCGAACAUAUUGGAGGUAGUAGAUGUAUUUUUAUGAUAUCUCUAAUAAAAUCCCAAGUUUGAUCAAUUACAAAAGAAGUAUGAGCGGUGCUGGACCGGGGGGGAAGAAGAAGUGGGGGGUCGGUGUGGUGGGGGUGUGCAGUGCAUGAAUAAAAGGAAAUGAUAGGGGGUGAAAGUUUGUGCUACCGACAUGCUGUAAAAUGGGGACAUAAUAUUUCAAAUUAGAUAUUGUGUGAUCCUUAAUAUUGCUGACUUUUGCUUAAAAUGGAAUUCUUGAUAACUUCAAAUGUUAAAGUUCUUGGUGAAAUUUUGUACUUUCUUUUCUUUCAGAUUCUUGUGCCUAUUGCAAAUGGUUCAGAGGAGAUGGAAGCUGUUAUGAUAAUUGAUAUUCUGCGACGAGCUAAAGCAAAUGUUGUAGUUGCAUCAGUUGAGGAUAAACCAGAAAUUCUGGCUUCUCGUCAAAUUAAAUUAGUGGCAGAUGUGCUCAUUGAUGAGGCGGCUAAACUCUCGUAUGAUUUAAUUGUCUUGCCAGUGAGUUGGGGUGCUUACUGUUGCUUCAUAGUCUUUACCACAUAAUUGACUUACUAACUACAAUUUAUCCAUGCACAUUGCAUAGGGUGGACUUGGUGGCGCUCAAGCAUUUGCGAAGUCAGAGAAAUUGGUGAAUAUGCUAAAGAAGCAAAAGGAAUCAAAUAGACCUUACGGUGCUAUAUGUGCAUCCCCAGCUUUAGUGUUGGAGCCCCAUGGCUUACUCAAGGUACGACCAUUUCUGCUUAAAUUAUUUACUCAGAUUUGGAUCACCUAAUCUGAACUUGAUGAAGGAUUAUGAUGUUGUGUGAUUUUAUGAAUGUGGUCUUAUCUCAUGUAAGUCGGUGAUGAAUUAAUUGAAGUUUGCUGACAAAUUAGAAACUGAAAAACUGCUGCUGCUUCGUUAGUUACAUUACCCAAAGAGUUAAAAUAAACAUCCCAAAUUUUUUGUCCCAAAUUCUGUCCCAAAUGAUAUGGCAUUUAUUGAGUGAUUGUAUUAUCUAACCAACCAAUUGAUGAAUGACACAUCAUUUGAGAUGGUUUUUUGGGAUAAAGAAUUUGGGAUUUUUACCCGCAAAAAUCCCAAGUACUUCCUGCUCCUGCAAUAUCAUUGCUGUGUAUUUGUUUUCCCCUUAGACAUAUUCAAUUGUGGUUCAGGGUAAAAAAGCUACAGCUUUUCCUGUUAUGUGCAACAAGCUGUCAGAUCAGAGUGAAAUCGAAAACAGGGUUGUGGUUGAUGGCAACCUCAUCACCAGUAGAGGGCCAGGAACUUCUAUGGAGUUUGCACUGGCAAUUGUGGAGAAGUUUUUUGGCCGCAACAAGGCACUUGAGCUUGCAAAGAUAAUGCUUUUCACUCGCACCUAACAUUUGUACGGGGACCUGACUACUAUUAAACUAGUGUGUUUAUUUCUGUAUUGCUACUGCUUGUAGAGAGGGGAAAUGGAAACUUGAAUUCAUGUUUGAAUAUGGAUUCACUGUGUGGGUUUGUACAGCAGUUUGAUUUAUAAAUAAAUGAGUUCAAAGAGUUACUUCAAAUAUUCGGAAUAAACCUGAGUUUAGUUCUGUUAUCAAUGGUCGGAGUCCAAUUGCGAUCGACACACUGGGAAUUUUAAUUAUGAACUAAAAAAUUGUUAUGUUAUAUUCCACCUUUCUCAUAAAAUGUUAACUCGAUUUACAGGAUAAGAAGGAAAAGAAAGACGCUAAGAGAGGAGCAGAGACCCAAAAAGAGUUGACCACUUUGUUGGAACAUAAACCUCUAGAAUAUUGAAAUAAAACACAUACCAUAUCUAGUAUUAAGUAUGUAUAUGCAAGAAGAUACAAAUUUGAAGAUCAGAUUUCUCAUUUCAAUUUAUGUUCUGCUUAGAGCAAUGGCUCUUAUUCCACAAGCACAAACAGGAAAGAGUACGCACGAAGUUAAGAAACACACAUUGCAAAAGUUGCAUUAACUACUUGCAGCAGCAUCAUCCAAGAACUUGACUUUAAUCUUCUUGAGCUUCGCUGCGGCAUCUGUCAUAUGCAUUCUCUUGUCAGGUGACUCUAUACAACAAUCCAAAGCCAAAUCCAUGAUGCUUAAUAAACAAUCCAUUUUGGCAGAAAAAGCUUGCUCUUCUCGCACCAAAUUUGCGUCAACAACUUCAGUCAAUCCGUGAGGUAAAGACUCCUUUACCCAUCUCCUUAAACUCAUUUCUCCUGCGAACAUUUCAUCGGUGGGCCUCUUUCUCGUGAAGGUUUCCAUCAAUAAAACACCAUAGCUGUAGACAUCACAUUUAGCUGAAACAAUUCCUUCUGAUCCAUACUCUGCAUUUUUUAAUUUUAAUUAUGAAACAAAUGAUAAAACAAAUAAUUUUUUGAUAAUUAAGGUAACCCAAACUUUGCUCGUGCUUGAAAAAAGAGUAAAAAUUUUAAUUACAAUUGAAACUUUACCUGGUGCCAUAUAACCAAUUGUAGCCAUUGUCAUGGUUUGUGUCACAGAAUCUUCUCCUUCACCUAAGAGUUUGGAAAUGCCGAAGUCGCUCACAUGUGCCACCAUAUUUUCAUCCAAGAGAAUGUUGGUGGGCUUCAAAUCACAAUGAAUUAUAGGUGCCGACGAAUGACCAUGAUGGAGAUAUUCAAGGGCCGACCCCACAUCUAUCAUUAUGUUCAACCUCUCUAGGAUGUCUAAGAAAUAGUUGUGAGAAUAUAACCACUUCUCGAGACUACCAUUUGGCAUGAACUCAAGUACCAAUGCUUUAAAAUCUUGAUUAGAACAACUGCUAAGGAUCUUUAUGAGAUUUCGAUGACGAACAUUCAGUAAAACUUCACAUUCAGAAUCAAAACUCCUAAAUGCUCUCUCUAGUUGCAGAUUGAAAACCUUUAUCGCAACAUCAGUCCCGUCGGAAAUGGUUCCUUUAUAAACUGAUCCAAAGCUACCUGUACCAAGCAAGUUACAUUCAUUAAAUUCAUCAGUUGCUCGUUGAAUGUCUAGGUAGGAUGUUCUUCUCCAUGUUGCAAGAGGUAGGAAAUCUUCGUGAUCUGAUUUUUUUGUACUCCUCUUUCGGCAUCUUAUGUACAUAAUGAUGAUAAUCACUAUAAGUACAGAGGAUACUAUCGGAGGCAAAAUAUAUUUAAGGACAAUUAGAGCAACGUUUUUGGUGCUUUUGCUGUCACCUUGUUUGCAAGGUGGGACUCGGAAUUUAGGUGGACCACAGAGUGCAUAAUUUCCGAAAAAUGAUUCAGCUGACAAGUUUUUAAAAGACCCCUUAACAGGAAUUUCCCCUUCUAGCCUAUUAUGAGACACAUUAAAUUGUUUGAGAUGUGAAAGUGUCUCCAAUGACUUAGGAAUUUUUCCAGAGAGAUUGUUGCCAGAGAGAUCUAAGGAUUCUAAGCUUAUCAAACUACCAACUGAUUCAGGAAUAGGUCCUUGAAAUUGAUUACUAGCCAAUGAUAGAGUUUCUAUAUCUUUGAGGGCACCGAUGGUUGAUGGAAUAUCACCUGAUAAUUGAUUCCUUGAUAAAUCUAAAACUCUCAAGACCUUUAACUUUUGUACAUUGGAAGGGAGAGAAUCAUUUAACGAAUUUGACGACAAGUUUAUCUCUAAGAUGUACUCAAGGCUCCACAAGGAUGACGGUAUACUAGAAGUGAGCUUGUUGGAGCCUAAGUGGAGUUCUCUUAGAGAUGUCAGACUCGCCAAGCAUGGUGGUAUAUGUCCAGAGAGCUUAUUUCCAUUUAACAUUAUUCCGUACAUCAACUCCAAGUGGCAAAGAUCAUAGGGAAUGGAUCCUUCCAAAUUAUUUUCUUCAAGAGAUAAACCUUGUAGCCGCUUAAGUCUUCCCAUCGUUGGUGAAAUAGUUCCAUUCAAGUCAUUGAAGCCGAGGCUUAAGAGGAUCAGGCCACGCAACUUACCAAUUUCUUUAGGAAUGCUGCCCCCGAGUUUGCAGUUGGAUGCAUAAAAUUGUCGAAGAGAAGCAGAGAAAUUUCCAAUUACUGGUGGAAGGAUGCCACCCAAUGGAUUAUAAGCUAAGGCUAAAACUGUUAAAUUUCUGCAAUUAGUCAGAGAAGAGAGAAAACUCCACUGAUCUGCUGAAGAUGAUUCUGUCGUCAAGUUAUUAAAUGCUAAGCCAAGCACGCCGAGGUGUCUCAAGUUGCCAAAUGUAUUUGGAAUAUGGCCUGAGAAUGAGUUAAAGCUCAAUUCUAGGCCAAUGAGUUUAGAAGCGUUUGUGAUGGAGUUGGGAAUUUUUCCGGUAAGGUUAUUGGCCGCCAAGGUUAAAUACUCUAUGCUCGGAAGCGAGUGGCCAAUCGUUGAUGGUAAGUGGCCUGAAAGUUGAUUGCUAAUUAGAUUAAGGACUGUUAGGGUUGAAAUGUUGAAGAUUGUGGGUGGAAUGGGGCCACUUAAAUUAUUCGCACUAAGAACAAGGGUAUCCAAAUUUUGUAGAUUGCCAAUCUCAGUUGGAAUUUGACCUGUCAUAAAGAUAAACGCCAAAUUGAUGAGUUAUUGAGCUUUUUACUUAACAUAAAUUUUAAUUUCAUAACGCAUGAAAAUCAAAUUUGCCCACAAAAUGUGUGUUAUUAGUUUUAUAAUUUUUUUUUGGGUUUUUUUUGGGGGGGGGGGGGGGGAGAUUGAUAUUGCUACCUCAUAAUUUUUGUAAAACCCCACCCGCUUUCAGAGAAUUAUUGGAACAAGAUUCUUAAAAAAAUUCAAAUAAAGAAGAAGUUUGGAGAAAUAAUCAAUUAAAUCCAUCUUAAUAUACUUUUUGAAACUUAUAUUCUUUUAUCAUAUAUAAUAACUAAGGUUGCUUUAACAUAAAUUUAAUAUAACUAGUCUACUCUCAUAAGGUAGAAUUACUAAAAUACCCACAAAUUUACUUCAACUUCAACUAAACUAACAAAAUGUAUUUGUUGACAUGUGGGGAACUAAAAAUUAUUGAAUUUUAUUUUAGAAAUAUUGUAUUACAAAACAUAAAACAAAAUGCCGAAACUAUAUAUUAGAUACAAUAGUACAUGUUUUUCGGGGUAAUUUGGUCAUUUUAUAUUAUAAGAGUAAAAUAGUCAAAUUAAACUUAUUUUAAAGCAACCGUAAACGGUCAAAGAUUGUUAAAAGCCCUAAGUCAUAAAAGAAAAACAUUAUAAAAAUAAUUUAUUAAUUGUUCAGACUUAAUUUAUAAUUUUAUAACAUAAUGUGAACUUAUUAUAACUAUCUUUUCAAAAUGAGGUGGGUUUGCAAGAAUAAUGAGUGGAAAUAUCCCCACCCUAUAAAAUAAAAAGAAUUUUGCAGCUAUGCAAAUGCAAAUAUGUAGAACGUACCUUGUAGGUUGUUAUAACCUAGAUUCAGAAUGAAAAGGCUGCUAAAAUUUCCUAUCCCUGAAGGAAUAUUUCCAUCAAUAACGUUGUAGAUUGCGUCGAACACCUCCAGCUUCGAUAAAUUGAGGAGAGAAUUUGGGAUUGGACCCGUGAAACUGUUAUUAUAAAGCCUCAACGUUUGUAAUUUGGAUAAGACACCAAUCCAUGUUGGAAUGCUUCCACUCAAUUUAUUGAAACCGAAUCUAAUGAAUCUGAGUCGGCGUAAUUGCCCCAAUUCAUUAGGCAGAUGGCCAUGAAAAUUAUUAUGAGCAACAUCAAGAGAUACUAAGAACGUGAGAUUUCCCAAGUGUAGUGGAAUGGUGCCUCCGAGACCCAUAUCUGAAAGAUUCAAGGCAGUGACUCUUUGAUGGCGUGAACCACAAGAGAUACCAACCCAGCUACAUAUUGGAUAAGAUAUAGACCAAUUAUUUGUCAGAUCACUUCGAUAAUCAACGACACGGGCUUUGAAUGCAAGAAGAGCCGAUUGAUCUGUUGUUAAGUUGCUCAAAGUCGUCAUAGCUAAGCUAGCUAUGGAAUAUUGUACCAACAACAUAGGAACAAAGAAGAAUGAUAAGCACAUAUUGGUCGUUUUUUUUUAUAGAUGCAGCAAUCUAAUUGCUAGGUGAAGUUGAUACAAGUUUUAAGUGAAGGAAACUAGCAUAUACUUAUACAAGAGACGUAUGAAUUUGAAAACAAGAAAAGAAAAAAAUGUACAGGAGAGUGGAGACAUGCAAAUUGGUAUAUUUCAUCAUUGAGCGAGUCGUCCAAGUAAACUCAUACAGACCUGUAAAUUGUUAUAGGCCGCGGUACUUGAACCGUGAAUAAAGGGCUUAUGGCACUUGACUUACCAAAAAGAAGAAGAUGCUCAACAUUGGCAAGGCCUAUGCAUUCUGUCCAUUUGUUCACGUUUUGCCAAGGCUCAGGGCAACCACAAUAUGUUCUUUUUCUUCCCUCUUAAAACAAAAAACAAAAAAAAAAGACGACAUUUACAUUUGGGCUAAUAAUUAUAACUAAACAAUUAAUAAUACUGAGGGUCAGUGGUAAUGUAGCUUUAAAAUAAUUGUUAUUAGUUGUGUCUUAAAAAUAAAGAAAAAAAAUAACUAUACCCAUAUAAUUAAUAAAAUAAUCAUGUAAAUUCCUAAGCUUUUAACAAUAUACACCAAGACCCCCUACCGUUACUUUUUACCAUUUAUUUGGAUGUCACAUGCUUUUUUUUUUUAAUUUUCACAGUGGAUAUCAAAUGCUAAAUUUACUGUUAUUCCCAUAUCAUGUCAUCACUUGCUUCUACACACAUUGAUUGUUUUUCCAAAGUUUCAAAUUGAAUUAAAAACAUUCUAAUUAACCUAAAAAAAACUCAUCCAACCAGAUAUAAAUCAUCUAAUUAACCUAAAGAUAGCUACACCCCCAUAUUAAUUCCAAUUAAAUAAAAUUCAUUUUUGUCAUGAUUUUGGAUCUCGAGCAGGGUGGAUAUAUCCAACUAGAUCCGCCCCAUUGGCAUUCCAGUAUAUUCUGUAAUUGGAAGAGUAUGAAUGACUUAAUUUGUAAUUUUAAAUUUGUAACGUUCAAUUCUAAUUUGAGGAUUCAAAUGAAUUUAUGCGAAUCUAAAAGGGGACUGAAGAUUGGCAUGCAUACAUGCAUACAUAUACAUAUAUAUAUAAAUAGAGAGAGAGAGAGAGAGAGAGAGAGAGAGAGGUAAUAUAACAUUCUUCUUGAUGAAGAUUUUUGUGCCAUACGAAUUAAAGAGAGUAUUGUGUCGAUGUUCGAGGCUAGAGCGACAAUUGGUUACAUUGCUUCAGAGGUGUUUAGUAGAAACUUUGGUGAGGCAUCACAUAAUUUAAAUUACUAGAUUUAGCGAGAUAUAUAUAUUUUCCACAUUGGAUUUACAAGCAUUUCGAGCAGUAUAAUGAAUUAAAAUUACUCGGAAUUGUAAACAGCGAGGAAAGUGAAAUUGCUAAGAAGAUGAAUAUUUUGUUGUUUUGUGGUGUACACGGACUCGUCCAUCGGAUAGGUCGCCCAUGAACAGAGGGAUAGAAAUGUUAUUGCCAAGAAGCAGACUGACUAGCAGUGACGCUUUGAAAAGUCCACCGGACAUCGUCUCCUCCAAGACCACCAAUAGAUUCUUCCACCAUUUCAACGUCGUGACGUGGGGAUCGGAAUUGAAUUAUAGGAUGCUUGUAAGUUUCCUUUGUGGAACUUGUGAAUUUGUGAUGGCAAAAGUCAAUGAUGCAUGUAACUAGCUAGCCCGUGUAGACUCCGUUUUACACUUUUUCAAAACCCAAAAGCACGCUAAAUCUUAAUCUUAAAAGAAUUUUUGAUUCAGUGCUGAAUUUUGGGCUUAUCUUUAAGUAAUCUUUUACCACGCAUGCAUUUUUGUCAUUGUGCAGUCAUCGAUUGCUUCUAAAGAUCGUAAUCCUUAAGAAAAAAUUACUUCUCUUGAAAGUGAAAGCAGGGCAGCUAUUGGCGUAUUGCAUUGCAGCUGCUAUGUGUAGUAGUCAAUUCUUGGAAACAACUAGUUUUCUUAAAUUGUAAACGGUCCCCUUUAUGACUGGGAGAUUUUGAACAAAAUUAAUAUGACGAAUUCUUUGCAGGUGUUGUUCCUUGAAGUCUCAUCUUUCACAAUGUUUCUGAAAUAAAGAUAUUACCAUCUCUGAUUUAAUAUUUAUUCUUGAUUUGUACCACCUAAUCUGAACUUGAUGAAAGAAUAAAGAUUAUGAUCUUGCCUGAUUUUAUUAAUGUGGUCUUAUCUCACGUAAGUCAGUAAUGAAUUAAGGAAAAUUAUCAUUCGUAUACCCUAUAAUUGCUCUGUUAUAAAAAAUACUACAACACUUUGAGGGUGUAUCAAUUGUCCACCCUAAGUUAACAAAAUGUAUCUGUCAUCCACCAAACCGUUAUUUGCCGUUUAAAUAGAAUGACACCAGAGGGGUAAUUUUAUCUUUUCAUAUGAUACAAGUGAUAAUUUAAGGGUAUACAAGUGAUAAUAAAAGAAUUUAAAGGUAUACAAGUGAUAAUUUUAUUUACUUUAAUUUAAGUUUCAAGGGUAAAAUCGUCAAUUCACUAUAAUUCCGUUAACUUUCAAACGGUAGCUAACGGUUUGGUGGUCGGCAGAUAGCUUUUGUUAAUUUAAGGUGGACGAUUGAUAUACUCUCAAAGUGUUGUAGUAUUUUUGAUAAUAGAGCAACUAUAGGAUAUAUGAUUGAUAAUUUCCCAUGAAUUAAUUAAAGUUUACUGUCAAAUUACAAACACAAAAACUGCUGCUGCUUCAUUAUUCACAAUACCUAAAGUCAGUGCAGAACUUAAUAAGUUUUCCAAAAGUUUUACGCUUUCUUUCCCCCAAAUCCCAAGUACUUACUAGAUAUGUCAUGUUUAUACCCAAAGUCAGUGCAGAACUUACUCGAUAUGUCAUGUUUACACAAGAGUUUGUUUAUAAAUAAAUGAGUUGACAAAUAUUUGCCAAAAAAAACGGUGAGUGAUGUCUAGUUCUAUUUUCACAGUUCAGAGUCCAAUUUUGAUUACUGGAAAUUUUAAUUAUGAAGUUGAACUAAGAAUUUGUUAUAAUAUCUUCAACCUUCCUAUACAGUCAUCUGGAAUAAUAAUAUAUCAAAAACAGUAAUAACUCGAUUUACAGGGUGAGAAAGAAAAGAAAGACGCUACGAGGGAAGCAGAGAUUCAAAGACUUCGCCACUUUGUUGGAGGAACAAUUUCAUAAAUCUCCAGAAUAUUGACAUAAAACACAUAACAUACAUAUCUAGCAUUAAGUAUAUUUAUGUAUGUCCAAAGAUAAAAAUUUGAAGAUUAAAUUUAUCAUUUCAAUUUAUGUUCUGCCCAAAGCAAUGGCUUUUAUUCCACAAGCACAAACAAGAAAGAGUACGCACAAAGUUAACAAACACACAUAGCAAACGUGACAUCAACCACUUGCAGCAGCAUCAUCCAGAAACUUCACUCUAAUCUUCUUGAGCUUUUCAGCGGCGUCUUUCGUAGAUGCCCCCUGUUCUGGUGAUUCCAUGCAACAAUCCAAUGCCGAAUGCAUGAUGCUUAAUAAACAAUUCAUUUUAGGAGAAAAAACUUGCUCUUCUCUCACCAAGUUUGCAUCGACAACAUCACUCAAGGCACGAGGUAAUGACUCCCUUACCCAGUCUCUUAAACUUAUUUCUCCUGUAAACAUUUCAUUUGUGGGAUUCUUUCUGGUGAAAGUUUCCAUCAAUAAAACACCAUAACAAUAGACAUCACCUUUGGCCGAAAUCAUUCCUUCUAAUCCUUACUCUGCAUUUUUUUGGUUUCGAUAGAUCAAAUGGAUGUGACAUCAUAAAACAAAUGAUAAACAAAUAGUCUUUUGACAGUCAAGAUGGCCCAAACUUUGACUGUGCUUCGAAAAGAGCGAAAAUUUGAAAUUAUAAUUGAAACCUUACCUGGUGCCAUAUAACCAGUUGUAGCCACUGUCAUGAUUUGGGUCACAGAAUUUUCUUCAUCACCUAAGAGUUCGGAAAUGCCGAACUCACAUGUGCCACCAUAUUUUCAUCCAAGAGAAUGUUGCUAGGCUUCAAAUCACAAUGAAUUACAGGUGCUGAUGAAUGAUCGUGAUGGAGAUAUUCAAGUGCCAGCCGCACAUCUAUCAUUAUAUUCAACCUCUCUAGGAUAUCUAGGAAAUAGUUGUGUGAACACAACCAUUUCUCAAGACUACCAUUGAGCAUGAACUCAAGCACCAGUACUUUAGAAUCUGGAUUGCAACAGCUGCUAGUGAUCUUUGUGAGAUCUUGAUGACGAACAUUCCACAAUACUUCACAUUCAGAAUCAAAACUCCUAAAGGCUCUCUCUAGCUGCAGAUUGAAAACCUUUAUUACAAUAAUAGUCACAUCAUAAAGUGUGCCUUUAUAAACAGAUCCGAAGCUCUCCAUACCUAGCAGGAUACAUUCACUAAAUCCAUCAGCUGCUCGUUGAAUAUCAUGAUAGGAUAGUCUUCUCCAUGUUGUCGAAGAGAACAAAUCUUCUUUAUCUGGAGUUCUUGUUUUCCUAUUUUGAAAUAUUAUGAAGAAUCAUAACAAUUGUUAUUAGUGCAUUGGAUAUAAUCGAAGGCAAAGUAUAUUUCAGGACAAGCAGAGUAGCAUUCUUGGAUCCUUUGCUAUUAUCUUCUUUGCAAGGUGGGACUUGAAGGCCUGGUGGACCACAUAGUGCAUAAUUCUCAAAAAACGAUUGAGCUGAAAUGUUUUUAAAAGGUCCUUUGAUAGGAAUUCCCCCUUCUAGCCUAUUGUGAGACACAUUAAGUUGUUUGAGAUAUGAGAGUGCCUCCAUUGACUUUGGAAUUUCUCCAGAGAGAUUGUUGCUAGGGAGAUCCAAAGAUUCCAACCUUAUCAAACUACCAAAUGAUUUAGGGACCAGACCAUAAAAUUGGUUUCUAGCCAAGGACAAAGUUGCUAGAUCUUUGAGGCCACCAAUACUUACUGGUAUAUCACCUGAUAAUUGAUUUCUUGAUAAAUCAACUCUAUUAAGACCUUUAAGUUUUGUACAUCUGAAGAUAGAUGACCACUUAGAGAAUUUGUUGACAAGUUUACAUACAAGAUGUACUCAAGAUUCCACAAGGAUGAUGGGAUACUAGAAGUGAGCGUGUUGCAGCUUACAAAGAGUGUUUUUAAGGAAUUGAAUAUCUGAAAUCUUGUAUGUAAAUAUUAACACUUAGAGAAUUUGUUGACAAGUUUUUAAGGAUUUACUGAUUAAAUAAUUUUCCAAUUUGUUUGCCUGGAGGAAUUGAAUAGUUAACUGAUUAAAGGAUUUCAAGGUGGUUAGGUCCAGCCGAGCAUUGUAAAUAUUAACGGUCAUUAUGAAUGUGUAAUUCCUAUAUGUGAAAUUGAAUUUCCAUGGUAAAUUUCUGCUAGGGUGUGAUUGUAUGGUAGCCAAUUGUGAGCAACAGAUCCACAUAGUAAUAUAGACUGAAAUUUUGCGUCUUAAGCCAUGAAGAUAUAGAUUUUGGCAAAUAUUAUACAAGCAUUGUUUGCAACACCACAGCUAAUUUGCAGUAGGAUGAAACACUCAGAAUUUUGCCUUUUUCAUGUAUAAAAUUUUAUUUUUUUAAUUGUGAUAUUACAGUUUUGCCCAUCAAGCAUUAUGAAGCUUAAUAUUUGGAUAAAUGUUAGGUUUAAUCUAUAAAUUUUAACUUCAGUGUUUAUUUAGUUUUUAUAUUUUGUAAAAUAUCUCAAGGCAGCCCUAUUAUCAAAUAUUGGCUUGAUCCGUAUAUAUUAACUUCAGUGCUUUAUUUAGGUUUUAUAUUUUGAAAAAUACUUUAAGGCAGUUCUAUUAUCAAAUAUGUUAUGCUCUUGCUUUUAUUUUUUCUUUGUUUUUAUAAUAAUACUCUGAUAACAAUAUUUUUUUACAUUAAUUUUUUAAUCAAUAAAAAGGUAACUAGCAAAUUAACUGAUAAAUUAAUUUGUUAAUUUUUUUAAUCAAUAAAAAAUUUAAUUAAUAAAUUACUUGGUAGCAAAUUAAAAAAUAAAUAUUAGCAUAAAACAAUUGAUAUUUUUCAUUCUCUUACAACAAUCUUACUAAUAAUUUUUUUAUAAAAAAUUAAUUUAUUAAAUUAAUCCUUAAAAGUAAAAUAAUAAUAAUUAAUUUGUAUCUUAGUUUUAAAGUUAAUUUGAUAAAUUCAAUUUUUUAAUUAAUAUCUCCAAAAAUAUAGUUGCAACGAUAUUAUUGCAAAAGUAAAAAAAAAAAUAUAUAUAGAAUUUUAAUAUAACUGCCAGUAAAAAUAACUUGAAAUAUUUUUUAAGAUAUAAAAAUUAAACCAACACUUAAUUAAAAAUAUAAAGAAUUAAAUAAACAUUUAUCUUCUAACAUUUCAACCUACUGGCUAAUGGUCAUACAAUCGUGGUGUGGUCCGGGAUGCCCGGCCCAGCCCAUCAUGCAAAAAGCCAUGUCACCCAUAUUCUUAGGCUGCUACUGCAUUAAAAAAAUGAUAUUAAUAAGCGUACGCCACGUCACUCCUCACUCUCUUCUUCGUCACUUUCCUCUCACUCAACAUUUUCUCCCCAAACAAAUUCCUUCUUUGAAAAAUCGCAUUUUCUCCUUCACAGCAACAGCUACAAUGUCUUCAACUUCCAAAAAGGUGAUUUUUUUUUAAUUUUAUUUUUUGUUUAGUUUCUUUCUGUUGCCUUUUUGUUUCGUUUUUUGAAUUUUCUGUGUCGUUUUUUUCCCCCAAGGUUUUGGUGCCUGUUGCGAACGGGAGUGAGCCGAUUGAGUCCGUGAUAACGAUCGAUGUUUUGAGAAGGUCUGGAGCUGACGUCACGGUUGCGUCUGUGGAGAAACAGCUCCGUGUCGACGCGUGUCAUGGUGUCAAGAUUGUCGCUGAUGCUCUCGUGUCUGACUGCCGCGACGCCGUUUUUGAUCUUAUAGCUCUUCCCGUAUGUAUUGCAGCUCUCCUCAGCUCGUGCUAAUUUAUGUGAUGUUUGUAUAAUUAUAGAUGAUUACUGCUGAUACUGAAUGUUAAGCUAAAUAAUUCGUUCUUAAGUCAUCUUCAUUUAAUUUUCGAUUGAAAAUGAAAAAAAUAAUAAUUUUAAGCAAAGAAAAAUAUAGAAAAUGUUUAUUUUGUUUAAUUUUCAAUUUUUAAUUUUCAGGGAUUUCAUUAUUGUGACUGUUAUCAUUCAUUAUAUGGUCAUAGUUAAAUGUUUCAAAUUGUUGUAGUCAGUGAAAUUCUUUUCGAUAUUUAUUCUGGCAUGUAUAUUUUUCCUUUUCAAUUUCUUUUGUUGCUGAUUCUUUGAUUAUGUUAUAUCCUUUUUUGUUUCCCUUGUAGGGUGGCAUGCCCGGUGCUACCAAUCUGAAGGAAUCUGAAGUAUUAGAAAGCAUUGUGAAGAAGCAGGCCUCAGCUGGGCGUCUUUAUGCUGCUGUCUGUGCUUCACCUGCUGUGGCAUUAGGGUCUUGGGGUCUGUUGAAGGGAUUGAAGGUAAGAGUUAGAUAAGCCUUUUUGAUGUUUUGUGGUCUUUUGGGAAUUGCACUGAUAUUUUUGUUAUGGUUCAGUUUUCUUCUCGCUGAUGAUUGUUAAGUUCUAAUUUAUGUAGUUGUUCAUUUUUCCUAGGCUACUUGUUAUCCGUCAUUUAUGGAGCAACUAGCUCCUGCUUGUGCAGCAUGUUGAAUCAAGAGUACAGCAGGAUGGUAAAGUUGUUACGAGUCGUGGACCGGGCACUACCAUGGAGUUUGCCGUUGCACUUGUUGAGCAGUUGUAUGGGAAAGAGAAAGCUGAUGAAGUUUCUGGGCCACUGGUAUUAGCUUUUAUAGAUAACGUUGUUUAAAAAAAUUAUGAGUUAUAUAAUUUGUGGAAGCUUCAGAUGCUAAUGUAUUCAAGAAAAUAAGUUCAGGGGAAGAGUAUGACUUUUUGCAUUAGUGAUUCAUUAGAUGAAAUUGUAUACCUGCUGGUCCAUCAUAAGGUGGUGAAAACAAUGUUUGAUUUAAUUAAUGAAAUCCUGAAAUAUGCAUUUGUUGAGCUUCAAUGUCUCCACUGAUAAAAUUCUUUUUAAUGUAAGUUCUUUCUCUUGGUAUUGUAUUUGAAUUUUCUGUUCCUCAUGCUUUCGUCUUUACUGUCACCUUGUGCCUAGGUAAUGCGUGCAAAUCAUGGAGAUGAAUACACUAUUGCUGAGUUCAAUCCAAUUCAGUGGACAUUUGACAAUUCUCCUCAGGUGAGAUUGGACUGUUAGUUUCUUGUAUUUGUUUUUCUUCUUCCAUGUUUUGAGGGAUACCCAUUUGGCAGUAAAUAAAAAUCUGUGAUAUCUUCUAUACAUGUACAUAUACAUCAUUGACUUCACUCAUUUGUGAACAUAUUGGAGGUAGUAGAUUUAUUGUUAUGAUAUGUCUAAUAAAAUCCAAAGUUCGAUGCAACUACAAAAGAAGUAUGAGCAGUGCUCGACCAGAGAGGAAAAAGGUGGUUUUUUUCUUUUUUUUUUUUGGGGGGGGGGGGGGGGUUGGUUGGGUGGCAAAGGGAAUGAUAAGUUCAGGGUAUCAACAAGCUGUAAAAUGGCUAUCGAAAAACUGAUAUUUCACAUUAGAGAAUGUGAGGACCUGAAGAUUGCUGACUUGUGGUCAAAAUGGAAUUCUUGAUAACUUUAAAUGUUAAAAAUUCUUGGUGAAAAUUUUGUACUUUUUUUUCUUUCAGAUUCUUGUGCCUAUUGCGAAUGGUUCAGAGGAGAUGGAAGCUGUUAUAAUAAUUGAUAUUCUGCGACGAGCUAAAGCAAAUGUUGUGGUUGCGUCAGUUGAGGAUAAACUAGAAAUUCUGGCUUCUCGUCAAGUUAAAUUAGUGGCAGAUAUGCUUAUUGAUGAGGCAGCUAAACUUUCGUAUGAUUUGAUUGUCUUGCCAGUAAGUGGGGUUGCUAACUCUUGCCUCAUAGUCUUUACCAAAUUAUUGACUUACUAGCUACAAUUUAUCUAUGCACAGGGUGGACUUGGUGGUGCUCAAGCAUUUGCGAAGUCAGAAAAAUUGGUAAAUAUGCUAAAGAAGCAAAAGGAAUCAAAUAGACCUUACGGUGCUAUAUGUGCAUCCCCAGCACUAGUGUUGGAGCCCCAUGGCUUACUCAAGGUAUGACCAUUUCUGCUUAAAUAUUUAUUCUUGAUUUGAAUCACCUAAUCUGAACUUGAUAAAACAUUGUGAUCUUGUGUGAUUUUAUGAACGUGGUCUUAUCUCAUGUAAGUCUGUAAUGAAUUUAUUGAAGUUUGCUGACAAAUUACAAACUCAAAAACUGCUGCUGCUUCAUUAGUUACAGUACCCAAGGAGUUAUGAUAGACAUCCCAAACUUUUUACCCCAAAUUCCCUCUCAAAUGACAUGGUAGUUAUUAAGUGGUUGGUAAUUUUUUAUAAGAUAUAAGUGAAUUAAUUAAUUAUAUUAUUUAAUCAACCAAUUGAUGAAUGUCACGCCAUUUGAGAUGAAUUUUUGGGAUGUGUAGCAAAACUUUAUGCUGAUUUGUUUUGGCUACAUUCAUGUAAAACAUUUUUCCCCAAAUCCCAAGAACUUCCCGCAAUAUCAUUCCUUUGUAUUUGUUUUCCCCUUUAGACAUGUUUAACUUUGGUUCAGGGUAAAAAGGCUACGGCUUUUCCUGCCAUGUGCAACAAGCUAUCAGAUCAAAGUGAAAUCGAAAACAGGGUUGUGGUUGAUGGCAACCUUAUCACCAGCAGAGGGCCAGGAACUUCCAUGGAGUUUGCACUGGCAAUUGUGGAGAAGUUUUUUGGCCGCAACAAAGCACUUGAGCUUGCAAAGAUAUUGCUUUUCACCCGCACCUAAAAUUUGUACCAGGACCCGACUAAUAUUAAACUAGAGUGUUUAUUUCUGUAUUACUACUGCUUGUAGAGAGGCGAAAUGGAAACUUGAAUUCAUGUUUGAAUAGGGAUUCACUGUGCGGGUUUGUACAAGAGCUUGUUUAUAAAUAAAUGAGUUCAUAAAGAGUCAUUUUAAAUAUUUGGAAUAAACGUGAGUUGCUGUUUAGUUCUGUUUUCAAUGUUCACCGUUCAAUUGUGAUCCAGAGCAAUAUAACUACACUCACUGGGAAUUUUAAUUAUGAACCAAGAACGAAGUUGAACCGAGAAUUUGAUACUUUAUAUAUUCCAGUUACCAUAUUUAAGAAAGAGUAUUGAAAAGAAAGACGCUAAGAGAGAAUAUUGAAGUUAAACAGAUACCAUAUCUAGUAUUAAGUCUGUAUGCCAAAGUUACAAAUUCGAAGAUCAGAUUCCUCAUUUCAAUUUAUGUUCUGCUCAAAACAAUGGCUCUUAUUCCACAAGCACAAACAAGAAAGAGUACGAACAAAGUUAACAGAGACACGCAGUGAAAAUUACGCUAAUUGGUUGCAGCAGCAUCAUCCAGGAACUUCACUUUAAUCCUCUUGAGCUUUGCUGCAGCGUCUGUCAUAUUUAUCCUCAUGUCGGGUGACUCCAUACAACAAUCCAAUGCCAAAUCCAUUAUGCUUAAUAUACAAUCCAUUUUGGCAGAAAAAGCUUGCUCUUCUCGCACCAAAUUUGCGUCAACAACUUCACUCAAUCCGUGAGGUAAUGACUCCUUUACCCAUGUCCUUAAACUCGUUUCUCCUGUGAACAUUUCAUCGGUGGGCCUCUUUCUCGUGAAAGUUUCCAUUAAUAAAACACCAUAGCUGUAGACAUCACAUUUAGCUGAAACAAUUCCUUCUGAUCCAUACUCUGCAUUUUUUUUAAUUUCAAUUAUGAAACAAAUGAUAAAACAAAUAAGUUUUUGAUAAUUAAGGUAACCCAAACUUUGCUCGUACUUGAAAAAAGAGUAAAAAUUUUAAUUACAAUUGAAACUUUACCUGGUGCCAUAUAACCAAUUGUAGCCAUUGUCAUGGUUUGUGUCACAGAAUCUUCUUCUUCACCUAAGAGUUUGGAAAUGCCGAAGUCGCUCACAUGUGCCACCAUAUUUUCAUCCAAGAGAAUGUUGGGAGGCUUCAAAUCACAAUGAAUUAUAGGUGCCGACGAAUGACCAUGAUGGAGAUAUUCAAGAGCCGACCCCACAUCUAUCAUUAUAUUCAACCUCUCUAGAAUGUCUAAGAAAUAGUUGUGAGAAUACAACCACUUCUCGAGACUACCAUUUGGCAUGAACUCAAGUACCAAUGCUUUAAAAUCUGGAUUAGAACAACUGCUAAGGAUCUUUAUGAGAUUUCGAUGACGAACAUUCUGUAAAACUUCACAUUCAGAAUCAAAACUCCUAAAUGCUCUCUCUAGUUGCAGAUUGAAAACCUUUAUCGCAACAUCAGUCCCGUCGGAAAUGGUUCCUUUAUAAACUGAUCCAAAGCUACCUGUACCAAGCAAGUUACAUUCAUUAAAUUCAUCAGUUGCUCGUUGAAUGUCUAGGUACGAUGUUCUUCUCCAUGUUGCAAGAGAUAGGAAAUCUUCGUGAUCUGAUUUUCUUGUACUUCUAUUUCGGCAUCUUCUGUACAUAAUGAUGGUAAUCACUAUAAGGACCGUGGAUACUAUCGGAGGCAAAAUAUAUUUAAGGACAAUUAGAGCAACUUUCUUGGUUCUUUUGCUGUUAUCUUGCUUGCAAGGUGGGACUCGAAGUUUAGGUGGACCACAGAGUGCAUAAUUUCCAAAAAAUGAUUCAGCUGACUAGUUUUUAAAAGACCCCUUAACAGGAAUUUCCCCUUCUAGCAUAUUUUGAGACACAUUAAAUUGUUUGAGAUGUGAAAGUGCCUCCAAUGACUUAGGAAUUUUUCCAGAGAAAUUGUUGCCGGAGAGAUCUAAGGAUUCUAAGCUUAUCAAACUGCCAACUGAUUCAGGGAUAGGUCCUUGAAAUUGAUUACUAGCCAAGGAUAGAGUUUCUAGAUCUACGAGGGCACCAAUGGUUGAUGGAAUAUUACCUGAUAAUUGAUUCCUUGAUAAAUCUAAAACUCUCAAGACCUUUAACUUUUGUACAUUGGAAGGGAGAGAAUCAUUUAAUGAAUUUGACGACAAGUUUAUCUCUAAGAUGUACUCAAGGCUCCACAAGGAUGACGGUAUACUAGAAGUGAGCUUGUUGGAGCCUAAGCGGAGUUCUCUUAGAGAUGUCAAACUCGCCAAGCAUGGCGGUAUAUGUCCAGAGAGCUUAUUUCCAUUUAACCUUAUUCCGUACAUCAACUCCAAGUGGCAAAGAUCAUAGGGAAUGGAUCCUUCCAAAUUAUUGUCUUCAAGAGAUAAACCUUGUAGCUGCUGUAAUGUUCCUACAGAUGUUGGAAUAGUUCCGUUCAAGUCAUUGAAGUCGAGGGUUAAGAGGAUCAAGCCACGUAAAUUACCAAUUUCUUUAGGAAUGCUGCCCCCGAGUUUGCACUCGUAAGCAUAAAAGCUUUGAAGAGAAGCAGAGAAAUUUCCAAUUAAUGGUGGAAGGAUGCCACCUAAUGGAUUAGAAUCUAAGACUAAAUAGGAUAGCUUUCUACAAUUAGUCAAAGAAGAGAGAAAACUCCACUGAUCUGCUGAAGAUGAUUCUGUCGUCAAGUUAUUCGUUCGUAUGCUGAGCACGUUGAGGUGCCUCAAGUUGCCAAAUGUAUUUGGUAUAUGGCCUGAGAAUGAGUUAGAGCCCAAGUCUAGACCAAUGAGUUUGGAAGCAUUGGUAAGAGAGUCAGGAAUUGUCCCGAUAAGAUUAUUGAUCGCCAAGGUUAAAUACUCUAUGUUCGGAAGCGAGUGGCCUAUCGUUGAUGGUAGGCGGCCUGAGAAUUGGUUGCUGUGUAGAUUAAGGACUCUUAUGGUUGAAAUAUUGAAGAUCGCGGGUGGAAUGAGGCCACUUAAAUUAUUCGUACCAAGAGCAAGACUCUCCAAAUUUUGUAGAUUGCCAAUCUCGGUUGGAAUUUGAUCUGUCAUAUCGAUUAAACCAACAUUGAUGAGUUAUUGAAUUUUUUGCUAAACAUAAAUUUAAUUUCAAAAUUCAUGAAAAUCAAAAUUUCCCACAAAAUAUGUGUUAUUAGUUUUAUAAUAAUUUAGGGGGUAAUGAUAUUUCUACCCCAUGAUUUUUGUAAAACACACAUGCUUUUAGAAAAUUAUUACCGCAAGAUCACAUUAUUCUUAAAAAUUCAAAUUAAGAAGAAGUUUCUAGAAUUAAUCAAUUAAAUCCAUAUUAAUUUAUAUUUGAAACUUAUAUUCUUUUAUUAUAUUUAAGUACUAAGGUUGUUUUAACAUAAAUUUAAUUGACUAUUUUACCCUCCUAAGGUAAAAGUACUAAAAUCCUCAAAAAUUUACUUCAACUAAACUAACAAAAUGUAUUUAUGACCUAUGGGGCAUUAAAAAUAUUGAAUUUUAUUUUUAAAAUAUUAUAUUACAAAACAUAAAACUAUAUGCUAGAUACUAUAGUACAUGUUUCUUGGGGUAAUAUAGUCAUUUUACAUUAUAAGGAUGAAAUAGUCAAAUUAAACUUAACUUGAAGCACCCGUAAAUGCCAAAAAUUGUUAAAAGACCUAAGUCAUAAAAGAAAAUUAUUAUCAGAAUAAUUUAUUUAGUUAAUUAUCUGACUUAUUGUUAAUUUAUAAUUUUAUAAGCUAUUGUGAACUUAUUGCAAUUAUCUAAUGGAGAUGAGGGGGGGUUUUGCAAGAAUAUGAGCGGCAGUAUUGCCACUCUAUAAAAUAAAAAGAAUUAUGCAGUCAUGCAAAUGCAAAUAUGCUGAACUUACCUUGCAGGUUGUUAUGACGAAGAUCCAAAUCAAAAAGGUUGCUCAAAUUUCCUAUCCCUGAAGGAAUAUUUCCAUCAAUAACGUUGAAACUUGCUUGUAACAUCUCCAAUUUCGAUAAGUUGAAGAGAGAAUUUGGGAUUGGACCCGUGAUAUUGUUAUUACGAAGACUCAUUAUUUGUAAUUUGGAUAAGACACCAAUCCAAGUUGGAAUGCUUCCACUCAAUUUAUUGAAACUGAAACUAAUGAAUUUGAGUCGGCCUAAUUUCCCCAAUUCAUUAGGUAGAUGGCCAUAAAAAUUGUUCAAAGUAACAUCAAGAGACAUUAGGAAUGAGAGAUUUCCCAGGUGUGGGGGAAUAGUGCCUCCGAGACCCAUGCCUGAAAGAUUUAAAGCCUUGACUCUUUGAUGGCGUGAAUCACAAGAAAUACCAACCCAGCUGCAUAUUGGAUGAGAUAUAGACCAAUUAUUUGCUAGGACACUCCGAUAAUCACCGACGUGGGCUUUGAAUGCAAGAAGAGCUGAUUGAUCUGUUAAAUUGUUUAAAGUCGUCGUAGCUAAGUUAGCUAUGGAAUAUUGUAACAACAUAGGAACAAAGAAGAACGAUAGGCGCAUAUUGGUCGUUUUUAAUAGAUACAGCAACAUAAUUGCUAGGUGAGAUUGAAACAAGUUUGAAGUGAAGGAAAUUAGCAUAUACUUAUACAAGAGACAUGAAUUUGAAAACAAGAAAAGAAAAAAUAUACAGGAGACUUGCAAACUGUUAUAUUUUGUCAUUAAGCGAGUCGUCCAAGUAAACGCACGUAUGGACUUGCAAAUUGUUAAACGUCGCUGUACUUGAACCGUAAACAAAGGGUGUGUUUGGUUGGAGGAUUAAAAGUGGGGAUUAGACACUUUUUUUUUUUUUUAAAUUUUAUCCUUAUCUCAUGUUUGGUGCUGUCAAGGGUAUUAGGAUUUAGUUAUCUUGAACUCACAAGCUAAUCUUAAUUUUGUAAAGGAAAUUAUCCCAAGAGGGGUCAUGGGAUUAGUUAGUAUUGGAUUAUAUUGAUAACUCAAUUAAACAUAAUAAUUUAUAAAUAUUAAAAUUAUAGUAAUAUGUGAUAAAUGUAAUAAAAAAAUAUUGAUUUUAAUAAUGUAAAUAAUAAAUUAUACUAAAAAUCAUUAUUAAUUUCACAUUAAAUUAAAAUUCUAUUUUACUUUAUUUAAUUAUUAAAUAUUUUUUAUAAUUCCAAAUUUACGUUAUAAAUUAAUUAUUAAAUUAGUAUUCAAAAAGAUAAAUUUUUAUAAAAUAAUAGAUUAUUGAAUAAAUAUCAUAUAAAUAUCAUAUACAUAUUUAACAAAAUAAUAAUUAUUUAAAUUAUGAUUUCUAUUUCUUUAACGUCAUUGAGGUUGAUUUGUAUAAUUAAUAAUACAAAAUUUUAGUUUAUAAUAAUAUUAAUAAUAAUAAUAACUUGUAAAUUGUAAUAUUAUAAUGUAAAACAUGAUUAUUUAUAGUCCAAUCUAAUAUUGUACCAAACACAAUAUAGUAUUAUAUAUAAUCCACUAUUAUUCAAUCCAAUUCAAUUUUAUCCAAUUUAAUCUAAUCUAAUUCAAUCAAAUCCGGCGGACCAAACCAGCCCAAAGGGUUUAUGGCCCUUUACUUACCAAACAGAAAAAGAUGCUCAACAUUGACAUCUUUGACCCAAUCCAAAUCUAAUCCAUACAUCUGCGGAUCAGAUGCAGAUUUAACCUAAUCCAUAUCCAAUCCACCAUUUUACGGAUUGGUUUGUAGACUGAAAAAUAUUAUAAGAAUAAUUUAUUAAUUGUUCAGACUUAAUUUAUAAUUCUAUAAGAUAAUGUGAACUUAUUAUAACUAUCUUAUCAAAAUGAGGUGGGAUUGCAAGAAUAAUGAGUAGAAAUAUCCCCAACCGAUAAAAUAAAAAGAAUUUUACAGCUAUACAAAUGCAAAUAUGUAGAACGUACCUUGUAGGUUGUUAUAAGCUAGAUUCAGAUACAAAAGAUUGCUAAAAUUUCCUAUCGCUGAAGGAAUAUUUCCAUCAAUGACGUUGUACGUUGCGUGUAACGCCUUCAGCCUCGAUUAAUUGAAGAGAGAAUUUGGGAUUGGACCCGUGAAACUGUUAUUACGAAGACUCAACACUUGUAAUUUGGAUAAGACGCCAAUCCAUGUUGCAAUGCUCCCACUCAAUUUAUUGAAAGUGAAACUAAUGAAUAUGAGUCGGCGUAAUUGCCCCAAUUCAUUAGGUAGAUUGCCAAGAAAAUUGUUCAGGCUAACAUCAAGAGAUUCAAAUGAAUUUUUGAUGGCGCGAACCGCAAGAAAUGCCAAUCCAGGUACACAUUGGAUAAGAUAUAGACCAAUUAUUUGUCAGGAUACUUCGAUAAUCAACGACACGGGCUUUGCAUGCAAGAAGAGCCGAUUGAUCGGUUGUUAAGAUGCAAUAGUGAGUAGUGAAAGUGGUUUGAGGUGGAGAUGCACCGGGAUCUACGGCCAUCCUGAGUUCAGCCAGAAGCAUAAUACUUGGACUCUCAUGAAAAGGUUAGCCAGCCUAUUUUCCUAUCCUUGGUGCUGUUUUGGUGAUUUUCAAUGAGAUAAUGCAUAUGCAUGAGAAAAACGGGGGCAAUGAGAGAAACCUGAAUAGGGUUGCCGAGUUUAGGGAAGCUGUGCAAAGCUGCAAUUUGCAGGAUAUGGGGUGUAAGGGAUAUCCCUAUACGUGGUCAAACAAAAGAUACAGAGAUCAUUUUAUUGAUGAGAGAUUGGACCGUUUUCUGUGUAGUAAAGAUUGGGGGAUUAAUUUUCAAGAAUCUGUAGGCACAAAUCUAGUGAACUGGUCUUCGGACCACUGCCCAAUCAUUCUAGAUUUCCAUGAGCGAAGCCAAAAUUCGAGACAUGCGGGCAAAUCUCUCCCCCGAGAUUAUUAUGAGGAUAUGUGGAGCUCCCACGAAGGCUGUAGGAGUAUAGUCCAGGAAGAGUGGAGCCGGUAUGGGGCUAGAGCUUGGGAAGCCCCUGUUCAGCAAUUUCAAUGAAUAGCCAAAUCUUCCUUGGCCCAGCUAAAACUUUAGAGCAAAACCGAAUUUCAUGGUAGGCAAAGAAAGUAAGAAAAGCUUAUGCAGAGCCUCCAGGAUGCUAUGAGAGGGAAUUCAAAGCUGGAUGAUGGCCAGGAAAUUAGGAGAUUGGAAAGUCAGAUUAACUCUAUGCUAGUUGAUGAGGAGAUUUACUAGAAACAGCGUUCGAGGGCCGACUGGCUUAGAGAAGGGGAUAAGAACACGAAGUAUUUUCACGCCAAAGCAUCUGCCCGCAAAAGGAAGAACAAGGUGUGGGGGAUUGAGAAUGACCAGGGCAUUUGGUUGAAGGAAAGGGAUGAAAUAGAGGAGGAGAUUUGCAGCCAUUUCCAAAAGCUUUUCACUACUUCCAGCCCGACUCCAAGCCAAAUCCAAGCAACCCUUCAAGGCAUGACAACAAAAGUAACUCCGGAGAUGAAUGUUCAGCUGGAGAAGCCGUUCACCGCUGAAGAUGUUGAGGAAGCCCUUGCCAACAUGUGUCCCACAAAGGCCCCAGGGCCUGAUGGUCUUCCAGCUGCCUUCUUCCAGAAGCAUUGGAAAUCUGUCCGUAACAGAGUGAUCUCAACGUGCCUUAAUGUCCUUAAUGAGCAAGGUAACCCAUCUACCCUCAAUCACACCUUUAUAGCUUUGAUUCCAAAAAUUGCAAAUCCUAGGAAAGUGAGUGAUUAUAGACCUAUCAGCCUCUGUAAUGUUAUUUAUAGAGUUGUAGCUAAGGCCAUUGCAAAUAGAAUGAAGCCGAUCUUUUCCCAAAUCAUCUCCCCUAUGCAAAGUGCAUUCAUCCCCAAUAGGCUCAUUACCGACAAUGUUAUUAUUGGUUAUGAAUGCCUUCAUAAAAUUAGGCAUAGCAAAGGGAAGAAGAACGGACUUGUAGCUUUAAAAUUGGAUAUAAGUAAGGCUUAUGAUAGAGUUGAGUGGCCUUUUUUGGAACAAACUAUGCUAAAGAUGGGGUUUCCUAGUAAUUGGGUAGCUCUGAUAAUGAGAUGUGUUAUUUCCACUUCAUUCUCGGUGCUAAUUAAUGGUGUGCCAAAAGGAAUGAUCCAGCCAAAAAGAGGCUUGCGACAGGGCUGCCCGCUAUCCCCGUACCUUUUUAUCCUUUGUGCAGAGGCUCUCUCCAAUUUGCUGGUUGUGGCAGAACAGAACCAGCUAAUCCAAGGGCUCAAAUUUGCGCGGGAAGUUUCAAUUACGCACUUGCUGUUUGCGGACGAUAGCUUGGUAUUCUCUCGUGCAUCAGUGGCUGAAUGCAGGCAUUUAAAAGAAAUGUUUGAUAAAUAUGCUGCAGCAUCAGGGCAGAUUUUUAAUUUUCAGAAAUCCUCACUGUUCUUCAGUGGAAAAAUUCCAGAGCAUCAACGGGCUGCUAUAAGGGGUAUCUUUAAUCUAAAUGUAGUCUCAAAGCAUGAGAAAUACCUUGGCCUACCAUCAAUGAUUGGGAGAAAGAAGAUGGGGUUCUGUAACGACAUCAAGCUGAAAGUGUUGAACAAGAUUGCAGGAUGGCAGCAUAAAAUGUUGUCUAGUGGGGGGAAGGAAGUUCUGAUCAAAGCGGCAGCCCAAGCAAUUCCGGCGUAUGCAAUGAGUGUUUUCAAGCUCCCAAGAGGCUUUUGUGAUGAUAUUCAGCGAGCUAUAGCGAAGUUCUGGUGGGGCUCGAAAGGGGAUAAGCACGGAAUCCAUUGGCGAAAAUGGGAGAAGCUCAGCCAGGCAAAGAUUAGAGGGGGGCGGGGAUUUCGAGAGUUUUCUUGCUUCAAUCAAGCGCUGGUAGCUAAGCAAGCUUGGAGGUUACUGCAGUACCCAAAUUCGCUGGUCUCCAAAGUCCUUCAAGCAAGAUAUUUCAGGAAUUCCAGCUUUUUAUGUGCAAAGGCAGGAGCCAAUGCCUCGUAUAUUUGGAGAAGCAUCAUGUGGGGUAGGCAGGUGAUUAAGAAGGGUAUGAGAUGGCAGAUAGGUAAUGGCAAGAAGGUAGCAAUUUUCUCGGAUAACUGGCUGCCAAGACCAGAGACCUUCAGACCUAUCUUCCCUCCAUCUUUGCCCGUAAGCUCAGUUGUUGCAGAUUUAAUUAAGGCUGAUAAUCAAUGGGAUGAAAUAAAGCUUCGACAGCACUUCAUGGAUGUAGACACAGCAGAGAUCCUCAAGAUUCCCCUCCCAACUGAGAAAGAAGAAGAUGGAGUGCUUUGGGAUUACGACAAAAGAGGGAACUACUCUGUCAAGAGUGGGUAUCAGCUAGCAUUGAGAUCAAAAUUUCCAGAUUCCACCAGCUGCACAGAGGCUUCCCACAAGUACUGGAGUGCCCUUUGGACACUGGAGUUGCCUGCGAAGCUUAAAAUUUUCAUGUGGAGGGCCUCUAAUAAUCUGCUUCCAUCGGUGGAAAAUCUGUGGAAAAGGAAGGUAGUGGAGGAGCCAACUUGUAAGCGAUGCAAACUGAGUGUUGAGACUAUCAGCCAUGCUCUCUUGGAGUGUAAGGUAGCGAGAAAAAUUUGGCUCCAAUCCCCCUUUUCAGGCCUUAGAUUAGAAGCCAAUUCUCAGGACAUUUUCAGCACUUUGCAAAAUAUGGCUAAGGAGAUGAGGAAAUCAGAUCUGGAAUUAAUGGUAGCUCUGUGUUGGUCUGCCUGGUAUGCUAGGAACAAAUGUAUCUUCGAUGGCAGGGAGAUUAAUCCUAUUAUAUCAGCUGCUAAAGCGGAGUCUGUUUUGUCAGCUUUUCAGAGAGUUAGGAAGCCCCAGCAAGCUCACAUCUCUAUCUUCAUAAAAGAGAAGCAGCAGGAGUGGCUCCCCCCUCCCCCGAAUGUUUUUAAAGUUAAUGUGGAUGCUGCUCUUAAUUCAAAGAAUCUGAGUGCAGGAGUGGGAACUGUGAUUAGAGACUCUAAUGGAAAGAUAGUUGCGGCUGGGGUAAAUCAGAACCUCCUAAAGGGGUCAGCUAGCUUGGCUGAAGCAGAGGCGGUGCUUUGGGGCCUUCAGCUGGCGAGAAAGGCGGAUGUAUCCUCUUUGAUUAUUGAGUCUGAUUGUUUAGAGGUGGUCCAGCUAGUGAACAACACCAAGGGCAGCAGAUCAGAAAUUUUUUGGACAAUUCUGGCAAUCCAAAACCAGAUGAAGAACUUCCAGAAAGUGGUUGUCAAUCACAUUCCAAGACAUUGUAAUGCUUGUGCCCAUUACCUAGCUAAGAUAGCUUUGGGGAAAAUCUCUCCCUGUAUGUGGCUGGGAAAUAUUCCAGCUGAAUUGUAUGGUAUUAUCAAGGUGUUGUGAUUAAUGAAAGGUUUACUUUCUUUUCAAAAAAAAGAAGAAUGAUAAGCGCAUAUUGGUCUUUUUUUUUAGAUGCGUCCAUCUAAUUGCUAAGUGAAGUUGAUACAAGUUUUAAGUGAAGGAAAUUAGCAUAUGCAUAUACAAGAGGCGUAUGAAUUUUGAUAACAAGAAAAGAAAACAAUAUACAGGAGAGUGGAGGCUUGCAAAUUGUUAUAUUUCAUUAUUUAGCGAGUCGUCCGAGUAAACGCGUAUAGACUUUUAAAUUGUUAUACGCCGCCGUACUUGAACCGUGAAUAAAGGGCUUAUGGCACUUGAGUUACCAAAAAGAAGAAGAUGCUCAACAUUGGCAAGGCCUAUGCAUUCUGUCCAUUUGUUCACGUUUUGCCGAGGCUCAUGGCAACCACAAUAUGUUCUUUUUCUUUCCUCUAAAAAACAAAAAGACGACCUUCACAUUUGGGCUAAUAAUUAUCACUAAACAAUUAAUAAUGCUGAGGGCUAGUGGUAAUGUAGCUUUAAAAUAAUUGUUAUUAGUUGCGCCUUAAAAAUAAAGAAAUAAAGAUAGUUAUACUAUACCCCCACAAUUUAAUAAAAUAAUCAUGUAAAUUUCUAAACUUUUAACAAUAUACACCAAGACCCCUUAUGUUACUUUUUACCAUUUAUUUGGAUGUCACAUGCUUUUUUUUUUUUUUUUUUAAAUUUUUCACUGCAGAAAUUAAAUGCUAAAUUUACUGUUAUUCCCAUAUCAUGUCAUCGCUUGCUUCUACACAUAUUGAUUGUUUUUCCAAAGUUUAAAAUUGAAUUAAAAACAUUCUAAUUAACCUAAAAAUUAAAAAAAAAACUCAUCCAACCAGAUAUAAAUCUUCUAAUUAACCUAAAGAUAAGCUACACCCCCAUAUUAAUUCCAAUUAAAUAAAUCUUCAUUUUUGUCAUGGUUUUGGAUCUCGAGCAGGGUGGAUACAUCCAACCAGAUCCGCCCCAUUGGCAUUCCAAUAUAUUAUGGAAUUGGAAGAGUAUCAAUGACUUAAUUUGUAAUUUUAAAUUUGUAACGUAUAAUUCUAAUUUAAGGAUUCAAAUUAAUUUAUGCGGAUCUAAAAGGGGACUGAUGAUGGGCAUGCAUACAUACAUGCAUACAUAUAUUUACAUAGAGAGAGAGAGAGUGAGGUAAUAUAACAUUCUUCUUGAUGAAGAUUUUUGUGCCAUACGCAUUAAAGAGAGUAUUGUGUCGAUGUUGGAGGCUAGAGGGACAAGUGGUUACAUUGCUUCAGAGGUGUUUAGUAGAAACUUUGGUGAGGCAUCACAUAAUUUAAACUACUAGAUUUAGCGAGAUAUAUAUAUUUUCCACAUUGGAUUUACAAGCAUUUGGAGCAGGAUAAUGAAUUUAAAUUACUCGGAAUUGUAAACAGCGGAAAGUGAAAUUGCUAAGAAGAUGAAUAUUGUUGUUUUGUGGUGUAUACGGACUCGUCCAUCGGAUAGGUCGCCCAUGAACAGAGUGAUAGAAAUGUUAUUGCAAAGAAGCAGACUGACUAGCAGUGACGCUUUGAAUAAAUCCACCAAACAUCUUCUCCUACAAGACCACCAAUAUAUUCUUCCACCAUUCAACGUCGUGAUGUGGGGAUCAGAAUUGAAUUAUAGGAUGCUUGUAAGUUUCCUUUGUGGAACUUGUGAAUUUGUGAUGGCAAAAGUCAAUGAUGCAUGUAACUAGCCGGCCCGUGUAGAGGCCGUUUGACUCAUAAAUAUUUGUCACUUUCACUCUUUUUCAAAACCCAAAAGCACGCUAAAGCUUAAUCUAAAAAGAAUUUUUGAUUUAGUGCUGACAUUUUGGGCUCACCUUUGAGUAAUGUUUUACCACGCAUGCAUUUAUGUCAUUGUGCGGUCAUCCUUUACUUCUAAAGAUCGUAAUCUUUAAGAAAAAAUUACUUCUUUUGAAAGUGAAAGCAGGCCAGCUAUUGGCGUAUUGCAUUGAAGCUGCUAUGUGUAGUAGUCAAUUCUUGGAAAGAACUAGUUUUCUUAAAUUGUAAAUGGUCCCCUUUAUGACUGGGAGAUUUUGAACAAAAUUAAUAUGAUGAAUUCUUAGCAAGUGUUGUUCCUUGAAGUCUCAUCUUUCACAAUGUUUUUGAAAUAAAGAUAUUACCAUCUCUGACUAAAGAUUUACUCUUGAUUUGGACCACCUAAUCUGAACUUGAUGGAUGAUUAUGAUCUUGCCUAAUUUUAUGGAUGUGGUCUUAUCUCACGUAAGUCAGUAAUGAAUUAAUUAAAGUUUACUGUCAAAUUAUGAACUGAAAAACUGCUGCUACUUCAUUAUUCACAAUGCCCAAAUUCAGUGCAGAACUGAUUAUAAGUUUUCCGAAAGUUUUACGCUUUCUUUCCCCCAAAUCCCAAGUACUUCCUGUAAUAUCAUUCCCCUAUAGAUGUCUUCCCCUGAGACAUUUUUAACUUUGGUUCAGGGUAACAAAGCUAUAGCUUUUCCUGUCGUGUGCAACAAGCUAUUAAAUUAGAGUAUUUAUUUCUGUAUUACUACUAGUAGUAAGAGAGGCGAAAUGGAAUCUUGAAUUCAUGUUUAUACAACAGUUUGUUUAUAAAUAAAUGAGUUGAUAACAAGUCAUUUUAAAUAUUUGCAAAAAAAAAAACGGUGAGUGAUGUCUAGUUCUAUUUUCAAUGUUCAGAGUCGAAUUUUGAUUACUGAAAAUUUUAAUUUAUGAAGUUGAACUAAGAAUUUGUUAUAAUAUAUUCCACCUUCCUAUACAGUCAUCUGGAAUAAUAAUAUAUCAAAAACAGUAAUAACUUGAUUUACAGGGUGAGAAAGAAAAGAAAGACGCUACGAGGGAAGCAGAGAUUCAAAGACUUCGCUACUUUGUUGGAGGAACAAUUUCAUAAAUCUCCAGAAUAUUGACAUAAAACACAGAACAUAUCUAGCAUUAAGUAUAUUUAUGUAUGUCCAAAGAUAAAAAUUCGAAGAUUAGAUUUAUCAUUUCAAUUUAUGUUCCGCCCAAAGCAAUGGCUUUUAUUCCACAAGCACAAACAAGAAAGAGUACACAAAGUUAACAAACACACAUGUUGAUGCGAGAUUCUGGUUGUCCUCGUUCUACGACCAGGGUCUCUGCUCGAUCAACUUCACCACGACCAGGAUCUCUCCUCGUAAAGCUUCUUCUCCAGAGGUUCCUGCGCACACAGACAGGUCAGAGUACGCCGGUUUUUUUCCCGGCGCAAACCCUCCAACGCUCAAGUCAGAAAUAGGGGUUCUGGGAAUGUUUGCCACGAAUCUUAUGGCUUCUUUUUAAUCUCAGUUCUCGGAACUUUCUUUUCUUAGUUCUAAUAGCAAAAAGUCUAACCCUUUUACCUUUGCUGGCUACUUUUUUAUAGGCUUCCUCUGAAUCCCGGUCUUCCGUAGUCCACGCCCAUUACUCUUCCCACCCUCGGAUGUGGAUGCCCCAUUGUCGUCAUUGUGGGCGAAUGGAGAUGGACUUCGUGCCUUGAUUCUCGGAUAGGAACGCACGUCUUGCCAACUGUCGUUGACCGGGUCUCCUCGCCUCGACCCCUAGCAGGAAUGGCCUUAUGCCUCUAACAGGAGUUCGUCCUCGUGAAUGGCAUAUUUGUGGACGAGCAGAAUAUUCCUGCUCCUGUUCCCUUGCUACCAGGCUCUUACAGGACAUACCUGUUCGCAGAACUCUGCCACCAAAUAUAUGCUCAUCAUGUCUGGUCUCGUCGAAGUAUUUCCCUCAAACACCGGUCCCCCAGUUUCUGGUGUUGGGUAAUGUAAUGGACCAGCAGUAGAAACUCAACAGUUCUUGCUCGCGUGAGACUUGAAAAGGCUGCCAAGAGUCGUGUCGCAUUUAAUUGCGGAUGCAGUGAUGUGGCAGAAAUCUACCCCUUCGUUUGAAUUUCAAACCUACGGUUGCAAGAUUCUCAGAAUCUGCGUCAUUAAAUGCUGGCAGCCCAAAAGUUUGCUUCUCAGUAAGAAAACCCAAAAUCCUCAAACACGAACUCGUCAUUUUCUCCAUUCCUGUCUCUCCGGCUAAUGAACCUCGGCAUUAAAGCUUUCAUCCCUGUCUCUCUCUGAGCGAGUCCCUGCUUCAGGUAUUUCUUCUAUCUUCACGGUCUCGGUUAGUUGUAGAUAAUUUCUUUUCUCUUUGCUUUGCUUGGGGUAGUAUCUGGUAGUGGUGUUUUGGUUAUAACCUAGGGAAUGUCGAAGGGUAAGGAGAAAGUCGUUGAUAUUGAUGACGACGAACUAGGUUUCUUGCCUAGUCUGCUCACUGAUUCUGCUUUUGGCCCCGGGAUCCCCUUAGAGCCCACUAGGUCUAGUGUUGGGACUAGCGCUAGGAGGAUGUCCCCCCAAACAACCUCCACGAGCGGAAGUAGUGGCGAGGAGGGACCUUCUGGCUCGGAAGACACCCUAAGUGAGGAUCAAUGAGGUGACUCUGGUGAGGGAUCUUCACCGGGAACACUGCGACCAGAAGGGUGUAGUACAGUAGGAGGUAGAGCCUUGUCGCGGGAUUAUGCUAUUGAUUACAUGACCUGCACGACCACAUUCAACGAGCUGGAUGACCUCCGGCUCAGGUAUCAUAUUCCUGGUGAGGUACUCCUUAGGAUCCCAGGAAAGAAAGAUAGUCUUAGCAGGCCUCCUAGGGGAUUUGUCACCUUGUUCUUGGAGAGUUUUAAGUACGGGCUAAGGUGCCCCUUGCAACUCUAUUUUGCUCGCAUACUCCACGGGCUCAAUCUAGCUCCUGGUCAGUUGAACCCCAAUGGGUGGAGGGUGCUCUUUGGUCUGUUCAUAUUGUGGGACAGAUGUUGCCAAAGCGAGCCCACGGUUGAUGAGGUGAAGCACCUGUACCAGCUAAGGAGUAGCCCCAAAGAUGCCGGCUGGUACUACUUCCAAUCUAGUACCAAGAGUAGGAAACCCAUAACUGAUCUUCCAACUGGUGGUGGUGGGACUUGGAAGAGGAAAUUCUUUUUUGCUGGGGGUCCUUGAGGUCAAGUUGCACAAAUAGACGGGAAGGAUUGUCGCGUCCCACCCCGUUUCACGGUCCCAGGUUGCCUGCUCACUUUAGAUGUCUUGUAUCCAUAAUUGUUCUUACUUUAUUGGUUUGUCUCUAACCAAGUGUCUGUUUGUGUUGUAGUUUCUUGGGGUGUUCAUUUUCCGCUCAAACCUGAUCAGCUCAAACGGGUCGAGGCUGUACUAGCCAACUCCUGCCCGAGCCGAGAACUGAUAACUAUUUAUAACUUCCUCGAGUCUCGCUUGGUACUCCCUGGCCAUAAGAUGGAGGACGCUGUGAUUGGGGCUCUGAACAGGAAACGUUCUCGACCUCAAAACACGAAGAGGGACCAGAACAAGGACGCCCCUAGGGCAAAGCGGACCAACAUCGUGCAGCAAGUCUCUCCCUUGAAGACUUUACCUCCUGCUCCUGCCAAAGUCAGCGAAACUAGUGGAGCAGCCACAGAUCCUGCUUCCUCUUCUCCUCCUGUCGGGCCUCGAUCUCGCUUUCCUGACAGCCGAGCAGAACACUUGGUCCCCUAUCUCAAUGAGUUAUCUAAACUCGUGAGCAAGAAGGACCUGGAGGACUUUAAUGGCUGCACCCUGGGCGAGCUGGUAGGAGCCAUGCAGUAUAGUGCUUUCCAUCUCAGCUGCAUGACCACCUAUUAUAAGGCUAAGGUUGGCCGUUAUGACAGGAAGAUGAAGGAGGACAUUCAAUCAGCGAUGACCAGAGCUGACGCCGCCGAGAAGAAAGCAGGAGAGCUAAAUGUCGAGAACCUGAAGCUGAUAGAGCAAGAAUCUCUUGCUCAAGCAAAAGCCAUUACCCUCGAGGAGGAGCUGACCAAGGUCAAGGAGGAUCUUCAAAGGCAGAAGGCAAUGUAUGAGGCUCAGCUCGAAUCUCUCCGCGAUUCCCAUCGAGCUCAGGUCGAGAACUUGGAGAAGGAGGCCGACAACCAGUACGACCAGGGACUUCGGCAUUCCUAUCGUUGCAUCAUGGCCGUCCUCGGGAAGCAGCAUCCUGAUCUAAAGAUGGACGACCUUGCAGCUGGUGUCGCCCAACAUAUGGACGAGGAGGCUGCAAAGGAGGAUGCCGAAGGGGUAGACGCAAUCGUGAUUGAGGAGGAAAACUCUCCUCCUCAUGUAGACCCUGCUGACGUUGGCGAGGCGAGCACCCCCCCGGACGCAACUGGUGAUACCCCCCCUGCACCUGAGGAGGUCCAGCCAACCGAUGCUGCUCGGCAUACUGAUCCGCCAUCUUCUUGAACUUAUCUUGUGCUGUAAUUGCUUUUUGAAUAUUCUAUAUAACAGCUUUGUAAACUUUUAAGAGCUUAAUAAGAUUGUUCUUAUUUGCUUCCUCGCAUUGGUAUUUUAAUUUAUUUAUCUAUUUGGCUUCUGUCCUCGUCACAGAGGAGGCCUUGAAGUUUGACGAGCCUUUGCCUGUCUUGGAUAAUUUCUUCAAUGAUUGGGAUUCUGCUCGCCUUCGCGUGGUCGAGCAGAUCCUGGCACGCUUGGCUUUUGGUCUCGCCAUAAACAGGCUUUGAGACUCGACGAGCCUUUGCAUGCCUUAGUUUCUUCAAGGAUUGGGAUUCUGCUCGCCUUCGUGUGGUCGAGCAGAUCCUGGCACGCUUGGCUUCUGGUCUCGCCAUAAACAGGCUUUGAGACUUGACGAGCCUUUGCAUGCCUUAGUUUCUUCAAGGAUUGGGAUUCUGCUCGCCUUCGCGUGGUCGAACAGAUCCUGGCACGCUUGGCUUCUGGUCUCGCCAUAAACAGGCUUUGAGACUCGACGAGCCUUUGCAUGCCUUAGUUUCUUCAAGGAUUGGGAUUCUGCUCGCCUUCGCGUGGUCGAGCAGAUCCUGGCACGCUUGGCUUCUGGUCUCGCCAUAAACAGGCUUUGAGACUUGACGAGCCUUUGCAUGCCUUAGUUUCUUCAAGGAUUGGGAUUCUGCUCGCCUUCGCGUGGUCGAGCAGAUCCUGGCACGCUUGGCUUCUGGUCUCGCCAUAAACAGGCUUUGAGACUUGACGAGCGUUUACAUGCCUUCAAUUCUUCAAGGAUUGGGAUUCUGCUCGCCUUCGCAUGGUCGAGCAGAUCUUGGCACGCUUGGCUUCUGGUCUCGCCAUAAACAGGCUUUGAGACUUGACGAGCCUUUGCAUGCCUUCAAUUCUUCAAGGAUUGGGAUUCUGCUCACCUUCGCGUGGUCGAGCAGAUCCUGGCACGCUUGGCUUCUGGUCUCGCCAUAAACAGGCUUUGAGACUUGACGAGCCUUUGCAUGCCUUCAAUUCUUCAAGGAUUGGGAUUCUGCUCGCCUUCGCGUGGUCGAGCAGAUCCUGGCACGCUUGGCUUCUGGUCCCGCCAUAAACAAGCUUUGAGACUUGGUGAGCCUUUGCAUGCCUUUGAUAAUUUCUGGAAAGCUUAGGAUUCUGCUCACCUUCUCGUGGUCGAGCAGAUCCUGGCACGCUUGGCUUCUGGUCUCGCCAUAAACAGGCUUUGAGACUUGGUAAGCCUUUGCAUGCCUUUGAUAAUUUCUUGAACAGUGUAGUUGAUUCAAACUCCUCAUUGAUUCAUUUAUUAUUGAAUUCGGCUUACAUGAGGUUGCUUUGAAAUAAGAAAUAAAAAAAUAGAAAACAACAGACAUGAACAGAAAAAAAACUUUAAAACAUGAGUAAGUCUUACUAGAAAUAUUUCCUGAGGUGUGCCGCGCUCUAGGGGCGUUUCACCUCGUGGCCCUCCGUGCGAACCAACUUGUAAACUCUGGGUCCAACUAGCUGCCAUUCCUGGCUUCCACUCGGGUAUCAAAGGAUGUUAUCUGCAUUGCUUCCUUUGUUGCCGAGGAGUAACAGCUUCGUGCGAUUCUCUGGUCUCCUCGUACCACUCCAACUACCCCAUUCACCCGGUACUUGAGAGCCAGAUAAUGGUUGGACAGCACCGCUUUGCUCAUCCUCAGAAAUGGCCGGCCUAGGAUCAUCUGAUAAGGACCUUCCUCAUCCACUACCACAAAGUCCAGUAUCAUUGUCCUUUCUGUCGGGGAGCUCCCAAUCGUGAUAAGUAGCUCGACCACGCCCAGAGGGACCAACUUUCCUCCUCCAAACCCCUUCAAGGAGGUAUUGGUGUAAUCCAACUUCAGGUCUGCUAUUCCCAUUUCCUCCAGGGUUGACUUAAACAACACAUCAACUGAGCUCCCUGUGUCAACCAGUAUCCUGUCAAACUUCUUGCUGGCAACAGUGGCCUUGAUGACCAAAGCAUCCUCGUGGGGGUAUAGAAUCCCUUCUUCAUCCUCAUCUGUCCACAUGAUUGGCACUUGCCUGACUCUUGCACAUUUGGCUGCUGGGGUGUUGAAGAAUACAUCUUUGCUGGUCAUGGCGUAUCUAGCGUAAUUCUUCCUCGACCUGUUGGAAUCUCCGGCCAAUGUUGGGCCCCCAGCUAUCACCCUUAGUGCAGGAUGCUCGCGCCUCAGGUUUCUAUCACUCUGCUCCCCUUCAUAUGUCGAGGCCACCAUCGGGAAAGUCCCAUCUACAAACUCGUCCAGGUACCGAUUUCUCACCAAAUCUUCAACCUGGGUCUUGAGAUCUCUGCAUUCUGCGGUGGUAUGGCCAUGAGUGCCAUGGAACUUACAAUGGCGUCCCCUAUCCCUCCUGCCGGGUAGCUUUGUUAUUGGGGCAGGGAGGUACAGCAGUCCUCGGUCCUUUAUGGCCUCGUAUACUUCAUCUAGGGACAUCUUCAAGGACGUGUAUCGCCCAUACUCCUGGUUCUGGUCGAUCAGGUGCACGGCCCUUUCUCUAUUUGCUCCGUUCUGAGUUGGAGGCGAUGACAGCAUUUCUGGUCUGCUCCCUCUACUACCGUGGGAGUGUUGAUGAAGACCACCAUAUGUCGAAUCAUGCCUUCUCCAAGGCUCCCUAGCUGGGGAACGAGGAGGGUGCGCCCUGCUGCGCUGAUACUGUGGUGGCCUCUGAUGAGGCUGGUGAGCUGUUACCCGACCUCCUGCUCCACUACCUGAGGCCUGGAGGUCCCUCCUCCUGAUCGGCCAAUUUCCCAGUAAUGCCCUCUUUUCUUUCUUUUCCAACCCCUCCAGCUGGUCUGUCUUAAUCCGAGCUGCCUUUUCUUCCUCGAUCUCUAUGUCUCUUUUAGCUUGCUCGUAUGCGGCUGCAUACGUCUGAAUAGCUGGGCUUCUCAAGUUGUACCACAGCCUUCCUAUCUUCACUCCCUCUUUCAAUCCCCUUAGUGCCUGAGGAUGGUCGAAGGCUCCCAAAUCGAGGACAGCACGAUGAAACCUCUUGAUGAAUUCCCGAAGAGUUUCUUGUUCCCCUUGCUUCAUGCUUUUCAACUCCAUCAUGUCAUCUUCUAGUGCCAUUGCCCCACGAAACUGCUCUGCAAACUCCUGGCACAUCUGCUCGAAGGUUUUAAUGCUCCUCCCCCGAGGAAGUUUUCUGUACCACUCUCGUGCACGUCCCUCAAGGGAUAGUGGGAACACCCUGCCUGCACCUUUGGGAUUGAGAUAAUCCUUGUACCCCAAUUAUGUCGUUGAAGCGCUCUAUGUGCACCAGCGGAUCUGUUCGUCCCGAAUAUCUAAGGUCUGGGAGGCGGAAAUCUCUCGGAAUAACUGCCCUCAUGAUCUCUGCUGCGAGCGGUGAUUCUCCAUCUAGCAUUAUCCUCCAACCAGGAGCUCUGCUCCUUCCUUGCAUGUCGUCAAUUAUCUGCGCUAGUCUGCGCACUUCCUCCUCCAGCUGCACUGCACGACCAGGGUCACGUGCUGCAACUUGAUCCCGCUCUUGCUCUACAUCAAGCAAGUGUUGCCUCAACUCUGUUUCCUCUGCAUUUGCCACCCCGUCGUCCUCGUCAAAAAUCUGUCUUGCCGGGAAUUGCUCUUCCUCUCUACGGAAUUCUCCCCGCAGAGGUAUGUUACCUCUCUCACCACCAAAUCUCCCGGUGGUUUGACUUCUCCUCGUACUAUCGGGACCUAGUGCCACUCCACCAACUCUCAUCCUUUCCUCCUGGGUUACCCUUCGUUCACUCCGCAACUCAUGCAGGAUGGUUGUCAGGGUCUCCAUCUGCUUUUCCAUUCGUUCCAUUCGGUCGAACAUGGCUUUUUCCCGUGCUUCACUGGCUAUCUCCCUCAGAGUCACGGAAUCGUUAAGCCUCAUAUCACCCCCUUGUGCACUACUUCCUCCUGUCUCCAUUGCUUUUCACUUGCUUCACUCCUCUUCUUGCUAUCAACAGAAGCUUUUUGAUCAGCUCCCCACAGACGGCGCCAAAAUAUUGAUGCGAGAUUCUGGUUGUCCUCGUUCUACGACCAGGGUCUCUGCUCGAUCAACUUCACCACGACCAGGAUCUCUCCUCGUAAAGCUUCUUCUCCAGAGGUUCCUGCGCACACAGACAGGUCAGAGUACGCCGGUUGUUUUCCCGGCGCAAACCCUCCGACGCUCAAGUCAGAAAUAGGGGUUCUGGGAAUGUUUGCCACUAAUCUUAUGGCUUCUUUUUAAUCUCAGUUCUCGGAACUUUCUUUUCUUAGUUCUAAUAGCAAAAAGUCUAACCCUUUUACCUUCGCUGGCUACCUUUUUAUAGGCUUCCUUUGAAUCCCGGUCUUCCGUAGUCCACGCCCAUUAGUCUUCCCACCCUCGGAUGUGGAUGCCCCAUUGUCGUCAUUGUGGGCGAAUGGAGAUGGACUUCGUGCCUUGAUUCUCGGAUAGGAACGCACGUCUUGCCAACUGUCGUUGACCGGGUCUCCUCGCCUCGACCCCUAGCAGGAAUGGCCUUAUGCCUCUAACAGGAGUUCGUCCUCGUGAAUGGCAUAUUUGUGGACGAGCAGAAUAUUCCUGCUCCUGUUCCCUUGCUACCAGGCUCUUACAGGACAUACCUGUUCGCAGAACUCUGCCACCAAAUAUAUGCUCAUCAUGUCUGGUCUCGUCGAAGUAUUUCCCUCAAACAACACAUAGCAAACAUGACAUUAACUACUUGCAGCAGCAUCAUCCAGAAACUUCACUAUAAUCUUCUUGAGCUUUUCAGCGGCAUCUUUCGUAGAUGCCCUUUGUUUUGGUGACUCCAUGCAAAAAUCCAAUGCCGAAUGCAUGAUGCUUAAUAAACAAUUCAUUUUAUUAGUACAUUGGAUAUAAUCGAAGGCAGAGUAUAUUUCAGGACAAGUAGAGUAGCAUUCUUGGAUCCUUUGCUAUUAUCUUCUUUGCAAGGUGGGACUUGAGGUCCUGGUGGACAACAUACUGCAUAAUUCUAAAAAAAUUAUUGAGCUGAAAUGUUUUUAAAAGGUCUUUUGAUAGAAACUCCCCCUUCUAGCCUAUUGUGAGACACAUUAAGUUGUUUGAGAUAUAAGAGUGCCUCUAUUGACUUUGGAAUUUCUCCAGAGAAAUUGUUGCUUGGGAGAUCCAAAGAUUCCAACCUUAUCAAACUACCAAAUGAUUUGGGGAUUAGACCAUAAAAUUGGUUUCUAGCCAAGCUAGAUCUUUGGGGCCACCAAUAUUUACUGGCAUAUCACCUGAUAAUUGAUUUCUUGAUAAAUCUAACUCUAUUAAGACCCUUAAGUUUUGUAUAUCACUUGAUAAUUGUUUGUAUUGGGCCUUCUAUUUUCAUUAUAGAAUAAAUUAACUAUUAAUUUUCAUGAGAAAAAUACUUAUUUCCAUAAAAUUAUUCAAGCUUUUAAAAAGAUUUAGAAUUAAAAAUCAAACUUUGUACUGUAGAAAAUUUGCCGGUACGUUCAAUUAGUACUUUGUUUGAGGAAAUAAGAUUAGAAUAGGCUAUAGGUACGGUAGUUAUGCGGUACCUGUUUAAUAACCGUAGUAUAGUAAAUGUUUGACUUUUUUAUUAGAAAUAUAUCAUUAACAAUUUUGUUCGCUAAUUGAAUAGAGAAAGAAAGGGGGGGUGGGGGGGGGGGGAGGGCAAAAAGGUUAACACAUUUCGAAACUACAAACGAUUGCCUUUUCCUAUUAAUAAUGUUUGCGGAUUCUAACAAUUGAAUCUCAAGGUCAUUACAUAGUGAAUUUUAUAGUUAAUAAAAUUAAUAUUCCACAUACUAUCUACUCAAUUAAUGUCACAUUUUUUGAAACUUGAAUGAUCUAUUUGCUACAAUUAGGAGCCAACGUCGUAAUGAAUGUUAAAUUAUGCUGUUUGUUUUGAUUUACUUUUCUAUCUUAGCUCCAAGUGAUUAGCGGAAUGCUGGUCUUGUGAGUAUAAAAUGAACUCCUUAAGUCAAAUUCCUUCUGGGGUGUUGGAGAAAGAACUAAAUACAUGUAAUCUUGCUUUCGGAUAUGGAUUAUCUGAUGGAUGUUGUAUUUUCUAGGUAUUGAGGAGAUUCCUCAUUAUUGAAAAAUUACGUUCCCGAGCAUCAAAAGAUGAUCCCAUAGAAUUGCGUUCUCCUGUGACAAAAGAGGAGCUUGUAGCUGAGGUAUCGAUUUUUAUCUUUCUUGAUUGUUCUUUAUAGUUGUUUCUCAUCAAAAUAGAAAAAGCAGUUUGUUCUGAGUGACCUGUGCGGUCUACUAUCAAUCACUGCCAUUUCUAUCAUUUAGUACUAUUGACUGUGUGUAUAGAUAUUUUGUUUUUGCCAUGUAAUUUCAUGUUUGAUACAUUUCUAAUACAUUGCAUAGCGUUCAUGAACGAGAAUGAUAAACUAACUUUCAGGUGUGUUUAAGUAGAUGAAAAAACUUGGUACAAUUUAGAAGGAUUCACUAAUUUUCCAAUUUGUUUGUAUGGAGAAAUUGAAUAGUUAAUUGAUUAGAGGAUUGCAAAGUGGGUAGGUCCAGCUGGGCAUUGUCAAUAUUAACGAUCGAUGUUUUGAGAAGGUCUGGAGCUGACAUCACGGUUGCGUCUGUGGAGAAACAACUUCGUGUCGACGCGUGUCACGGUGUCAAGAUUGUCGCUGAUGCUCUCGUGUCUGACUGCCGCGACGCCGUUUUUGAUCUUAUAGCUCUUCCCGUAUGUAUUGCAGCUCACCUCAGCUCAUGCCAAUUUAUGUGAUGUUUGUAUAAUUAUAGAUGAUUAUUGCUGAUACUGAAUGUUAAGCUAAAUAAUUCGUUCUUAAGUCAUCUUCAUUUAAUUUUCGAUUGAAAAUGAAAAAAAUAAUAAUUGUAAGCAAAGAAAAAUAUCGAAAAUGUUUAUUUUGUUUUAAUUUUAUUUUUUAAUUUUUUGGGAUUUCCUUAUUGUGGCUGUUAUUAUUCAUUAUAUGGUCCUAGUUAAAUAUUUCAAGUUGUUGUAGUUAGUGAAUUUCUUUUCGAUAUUUAUUCUGGCAUGUAUAUUUUUUCUUUUCAAUUUCUUUUGUUGCUGAUUCUUUGAUUAUGUUAUAUCCUUUUUUGUUUCCCUUGUAGGGUGGCGUGCCUGGUGCUACCAAUCUGAAAGAAUCUGAAGUAUUAGAAAGCAUUGUGAAGAAGCAGGCUUCAGAUGGGCGUCUUAAUGCUGUUAUCUGUGCUUCACCUGCUGAGGCAUUAGGGUCUAGGGGUCUGUUGAAGGGAUUGAAGGUAAGAAUUAGAUAAACCUUUUUGAUGUUCUGUGGUCUUUUGGGAAUUGCACUGAUAUUUUUGUUAUAGUUCAGUUUUCUUCUCGCUGAUGAUUGUUAAGUUCUAAUUUAUGUAGUUGUUCAUUUUUCGUAGGCUACUUGUUAUCCGUCAUUUAUGGAGCAAUUAGCUCCUGCUUGUGCAACAACUGUUGAAUCAAGAGUACCACAGGAUGGUAAAGUUGUUACGAGUCGUGGACCCUGCACUACUAUGGAGUUUGCUGUUGCACUUGUUGAGCAGUUGUAUGGGAAAGAGAGAGCUGAUGAGGUUUCUGGGCCACUGGUAGUAACUUUUAUAGAUAAUGUUGUUUAAAAAAAUUGUGAGUUAUAUAAUUUGUUGAAAUUCAUUCUAAUAGGUUCAUCUGGUAUGUCAAAUUGGAAGGUUCAGAUGCUAAUGUAGUCCAAAAAAUUAGUUCAGGGGAAAAGUAUGACUUUUUGCAUUAGAGAUUUAUUAGAUGAAGUUGUAUACCUACUGGCCCAUCUUAAUAUGGUGAAAACGAUGUAAAAUCGGGAGAGGGGGUUCGGGGGAGAGGGGAAGCCCUCUCCAACCGCAAGGCCGUUAUUCUGACAUGAAUAGAGUAAGGCCUUUACUUUUAUAAAGAAAGGUCCCUGUUUUGCACGUCUCCACUGAUCACAUUCUUUUUAAUGUAAGUUCUUUCUCUUGGUAUUUGUCUUUGAUUUUUCUCUUCCUCAUGCUGUCGUCUGUCAAAAGAUUUGGCUGCAGCAUCUAGAAGUUUUGAAGAAGCAAAAUGGGUCACACGGCUUUGAAGUUCUAGAUGCCGUAAUGUUUGGUAAAAGUAAAAAAAAAUUCAAAGCUCAAAAAUUCAAAGUUCGAAAAACUGAAAUUUUUGAGCUGUAUGGCUUGUAAUUUUAUAGCCACUUUUUUGACUUUUAAGGAAAAGUUUUACCUAUAAAUACAAGCUCUCAAUUUAGAGCUUGCAUCCAAUUUUGUAAAGAGAGUCGAGAGCUGUGAAAAGCAAUUCUUGCAGAGCAGAGAGUUUGUAGAGCUUAAAUAAUAAAAGCUGUUGUUUUAAUGAUUUGAGAGUUUGGAUGUAUUGGGGUUUUGGGAAGUGAGCUAAAAUACUACAAUACUUGUAACUCCUUUUCACUAGUAAAAUAUUUUUCUUCUAUCUUCACCCAUGGACGUAGGUUAAAAGCCGAACCACGUAAUUUCCUGGUGUCCUCUUUGUGCUUCUUCUUGAUUUUUUUUUCCCAAUUUUACUUUAGUUGCGGCCCUGCUUCACCCGCCAAUUUCCUAACAGCGGUAUCAGAGCUAUUAGUUGUAUUAUUUGGAGUCGGGUACUAUUCACAUACGGUACUGUUCACAUAUACGGUACUAUUCAUGUAUACGUUACUAUUCACGUGAAACGGUGGGAGCAAUUCUAGUAUUGGCGAUGCAAAGCAGGGGAAUAGUGUGUGUGAGUGGAGUAAUUGUGUGGUUUUGGACAUGUGUAAGAAAGUUCUGUCACAAAGGCGAUAAGAGCCUAAGGAGUUAGGAUUUUAAGUGGGACUAUUGUGACCCCUCCAGUCUUUCCUGGGAACUUUCUUGGUGUGCUCUCACACAUACUCACAACUAUUCAAGCUGGUACACUAGUUUUGUACAAUAUUUAUCAACAAAAUGGUGGCAAAGUAUGAAAUUGAGAAGUUUAACGGAAAUAAUUUUUCGUUGUGGAAAAUGAAGAUGAAAGUUGUAUUGAAGAAAAAUAAUUGAUUGGCAGCAAUUAGAGAAAGGCCCAUGGAGAUAACUGAUGACAAGUGGAACAAGAUAUAUGGCAACGCCAUUUUUGAUCUACACUUGGCACUUACGGAUGAAGUAUUAUUCAGUGUGGCAGAGAAAACUACAGCGAAGGAAAUAUGGGAUACUCUCACAAAAUUGUACGAGACCAGGUCACUACACAACAAAAUCUUCUUAAAGAGGAAGCUCUAUACUCUUCGAAUGACGGAAUCUACAAUGGUGACCGACCACAUCAAUACCUUGAAGACUCUAUUUUCACAACUCACAACGUUAGGUCAUAAUAUAGAGGAAAAUGAACAUGCAGAGCUUCUACUUCAAAGUCUACCAGAUUCGUAUAAUCAACUCAUCAUCAACCUGACGAAUAAUAAUCCAGCGGACAGUUUGGUUUUCGACGAUGUUGCAGCCUCCGUAUUAAAUGAGGAGAGCAGGCGGAAAAAUAAGAAAAAUAGACAAGCAAGUUUGCAGCAAGCGGAGGCGUUAUCGGCGACGAGAGGGAGAUCAACGGAACGUGGCUGGCCCCAGUGGGAGUCACAAUCGUGGUAGAUCAAAAUCCAGAAGUAAGAAGAAUGUUAAAUGCUACAAUUGUGGUAAGAAAGGGCACGUCAAGAAAGAGUGUUAGAGUAACCAGAAGAGAAAAGAUGGCAAAAAACCUGAGUCAUCAAAUGCUCAGGGGUGUGUAGCAAGUACCUCGGAUGAUGACGAAAUUCUCUACAGCGAGGCAACAACUGUUUCAGAAGGUAGAAAAUGACUAUAUGAUGUCUGGCUUAUAGACUCAGGAGCUACCUGACACAUGACCUAUCGUAGAGAAUGGUUCCACACAUAUGAACAUAUCUCAGGAGAAUAUGCAUAUAUAGGUAAUGAUCAUGCCUUGGAGAUCGUUAGUAUUGGUACUAUCAAAAUAAAAAUAUUUGAUGGUACAAUUCGCACAAUUGAGGAGGUACAACAUAUCAGCGGCCUGAAGAAAAAUCUAUUGUCUUUGGGACAAAUGGAUAGUCAUAGGUACAAAACUCAUGUGGAGAAUGGAAUUAUGUAGAUCGUUAAAGGCGCGCUUGUAUUGAUGAAGGCAGAAAAGAUCAGUGCUAAUUUAUUCAUGCUUAAAGGAGAAACACUACAGGAGGCUGAUGUAUGUGUCGCGUCAAAUGGAGAAGAGUCAACGAUGAUGUGGCAUCUCAAACUUGGCCACAUGUCAGAACAAGGCUAGAAGAUUCUCUCUGAGUGAAAAUUGCUUCCAGGGUUCAAAUCGGUAAGUUUACCAUUUUGCGAGCAUUGUGUUAUAAGUAAGCAACAUAGAUUAAAGUUCAGUAGAUCUAUUACUAGAAGUAAAUGCAUUCUAGAAUUGAUUCAUUCUGAUGUUUAGGAAUCGCCGGAUAUGUCCAUGGGAGGUGCAAAGUACAUGGUGACUUUCAUUGAUGAUUAUUGCAGGAGAUGUUGGGUGUAUUCAAUUAAGAAAAAGUCAGAUGUAUUUCCAGUGUUUAAAGAAUACAAAGCGCGGGUGGAACUUGAAUUUGGUAAAAGGAUCGAGUGCUUGGGGACAAAUAAUGGUGGAGAGUAUACAGACGGCGAGUUUCUUGCUUUCUGUAAGCAAAAAGGUAUUUAGAGGUAGUUAAUGGUAGCAUACACUCCUCAACAAAACGGAGUGGCGAAGCGAAUGAACAUAACUCUUACAAAAAGAAUAAUAGCUAUGUUGAGGACUGCUGGUCUACCCAAUUCAUUCUGGGCAGAAGCAGCCAAAACUGCCUGUUAUAUCGUAAAUCGAUUGCCAUCUACAACAAUUGGGCUGAAGACAGCGAUGGAGAUAUGGACUGGAAAGCUAGCUGAUUACUCAUACCUACAUGCAUUUGGAUGUCCUGUGUACGUGAUGUACAAUGCCCAAGAAAGAAUAAAGCUUGAUCUAAAAUCUAGAAGAUGUAUCUUCUUGGGAUAUACUGAUGGAGUAAAGGGGUAUCGUCUGUAGGACCCCACUGCCCACAAGAUCGUCAUCAGCAGAGAUGUUAUUUUUUGUAGAAGAUCAACUACAAAGGAAAGAUAGAGAUGAUGACACUGUAAAAGAAAAGUCAGAGACUGUGCCAGUAUAUGUGGAAAAUAAUCCAGAAGAUUCAGAUUCUUCUGAAGCAACACCAGAGCAUGAAGAAUAAGAAUCAGUCGAGUUCGAGGCUCCAGAAGUUCGUCGGUUAACUCGUGAAAGACGACCGCCAACGUGACACUCGGAGUAUGUCACAGAGAUCAACGUUGCAUACUGUUUUCUAACAGAGGAUGGAGAGCCUUCAACUUUCCAUAAAUCUUUAAACAGCUCAGAUGUUACUUUAUGGAUGACAACAAUGCAGGAAGCAAUUGAGGCUCUACAUAAGAACAAGACAUUGGAGCUUGUACCACUACUACGUGGAAGAAAAGAUAUUGGAAACAAAUAGAUCUACAAGAUCAAAUGUGAUGGUAAUGACCAAGUGGAACGGUAUCAUGCAAGAUUGGUGGUGAAAUGAUAUGCUCAGAAAGAAGGUAUUGACUUCAACGGAAUAUUUUCUCUGGUGGUUUGACUCACAACAGUCAGAAUAGUCUUGGUAAUGUGUGCUACAUUUGACUUACAUCUUGAGCAGUUAGAUGUGAAAAUUGCAUUUCUUCAUGGAGAACUUGAAGAAGAAAUUUAUAUGCUCCAACCAGAAGGUUUUGCUGAAAAGGGAAAGGAGAACUUGGUUUGCAGGUUGAACAAAUCUUUAUACGGUCUCAAACAGGCACCGAUGUGUUGGUAUAAGAGAUUUGAUUCCUUCAUCAUAAGCCUCAGAUACAAUAGACUCAGCUCAGACCAAUGUGCAUAUUAUAAAAGGUUUGAAGAUAAUGAUUUCAUUAUUUUGAUAUUGUAUGUGGAUGACAUGUUGGUAGCAGGCCCCAACAAAGAUCGAGUCCAAGAAUUGAAGGUAUAAUUGAUUAGGGAGUUUGAAAUAAAGGACUUGGGACUAGAAAAUAAGAUUCUAGGGAUGCAAAUUCACCGAGACAGAAAUAACAGGAAGAUUUGGCUUUCUCAGAAGAACUACUUGAAGAAAAUUUUGCGACGCUUCAACAUGCAAGAUUGUAAGUCAAUUUCUACCCCACUUCCUGUUAAUUUCAAAUUAUCCUUAAGUAUGUGUCUGAGCAAUGAAGCAGAGAAGGAGGAGAUGUCUCGAGUACCGCAUGCAUCAGCAGUGGGAAGUUUGAUGUUCGCUAUGAUAUGUACUGGAUCGGACAUUGCACAAGCAGUGGGAGCAGUCAGUCGGUACAUGGCAAAUCCUAGUGGAGAGUAUUGGAUAACUGUGAAGAAGAUUCUGAGAUACAUCAGAGGAACCUCAGAUGUUGCAUUAUGUUAUGGAGGAUCAGAGUUUACUGUCAGGGGUUAUGUGGAUUCAGAUUUUGUAGGAGACUUUGAUAAAAGAAAAUCCACUAUUGGCUAUAUGUUUACACUUGCAGGAGAAGCUGUAAGCUGAGUUUUGAAACUGCAGACCGUUGUGGUUUUAUCUACAACAGAAGCAGAAUACAUGGCAGCUACACAAGCUUGGAAGGAAGCUAUCUGGAUACAAAGGUUAUUGGAGGAGUUCGGGCACAAACAAGAGAAAAUUUUUGUGUAUUGUGACAGUCAGAGUGCCUUGCAUAUUGUAAGAAAUCCAGCAUUUCAUUCAAGGACAAAGCAUGUAGGAGUUCAGUAUCACUUCGUUCAAGAAGUAGUGGAAGACGGAAGUGUGGAUUUACAGAAAAUCCAUACGAAGGAGAACCUAGCAGAUGUUUUGACCAAGCCGAUAAAUACUGAUAAGUUUGUCUGGAGUAGAUUCUCUUGUGGCCUAGCAGAAACGUAGGCAACAUGACAGUGGCGAAGCAGAAACGAUGGUGUGGAGAUUGAUUGAUCCUCAAUCAAAUCUCCAAGUGGGAGAAUGUCAAAAGAUUUGGCUGCAACAUCUAGAAGCUGCAUCUAGAAGUUUUGAAGAAGCAAAAUGGGUGGCACAUGACUUUGAAGUUCUAGAUGCUGUAAUGUUUAGUAAAAGAAAAAGAAAAAAAUUCAAAGCUAAAAAAUUCAAAGUUUGAAAAUCUAAAAUUUUUGACCUGUAUGGCUUGAAAUUUUAUAGCCACGUUUUUUACUUUUGAGGCAAAGUUUUGCCUAUAAAUACAAGCUCUCAAUUUAGAGCUUGCAUCCAAUUUUGUAAAGAAAGUCGAGAGCUGUUAGAAGCAAUUCUUGCAGAGCAGAGAGUUUGUAGAGCUUAAAUAAUAAAAGCUCUUGUUUUAGUGAUUUGAGAGUUUAGGUGUAUUAGGGUUUUGGGAAGUGAGCUAAAAUACUACAAUACUUGUAACUCUUUUUCACUAGUAAAAUAUUUUCCUUCUGUCUUCGCCCGUAGAAGUAGGCUAAAAGCCGAACCACGUAAUUUCCUGGUGUCCUCUUUGUGCUUGUUCUUUAUUUUUUUUCAAUUUUAUUUUAGCUGCGGCCCUGCUUCACCCACCAAUUUUCUAACAUCGUCUUCACUGUCACCCUGUGCCUAGGUAAUGCGUGCAAAUCAUGGGGUUGAAUACACUAUUGCUGAAUUCAAUCCAAUUCAGUGGACAUUUGACAAUUCUCCCCAGGUGAGAUUGGACUUCUAGUUUCUUGUAUUUGUUUUUCUUCAUCCGAUGUUUUCAGGGAUACCUAUUUGGCAGUAUAUAAAAAUCUGUGAUAUCGUCUAUACAUAUACAUAUACAUCAUUGGCUUCAGUCAUUUGUGAACAUAUUGGUGGUAGUAGAUGUAUUUUUAUGAUAUCUCUAAUAAAAUCCUAAGUUUGAUUAAUUACAAAAGAAGUAUGAGCGGUGCUGGACCGGGGGGGAGGGGGGAGGAGUGGGGUGUCGGUGUGUUGGGGGUGUGCAGUGCAUGAAUAAAAGGAAAUGAUAGGGGGUGAAAGUUUGUGCUACCGACAUGCUGUAAAAUGGGGACACAAUAUUUCAAAUUAGAGAUUGUGAGAUCCUUAAUAUUGCUGACUUGUGCUUAAAAUGGAAUUCUUGAUAACUUCAAAUGUUAAAGUUCUUGGUGAAAUUUUGUACUUUCUUUUCUUUCAGAUUCUUGUGCCUAUUGCAAAUGGUUCAGAGGAGAUGGAAGCUGUUAUGAUAAUUGAUAUUCUGCGACGAGCUAAAGCAAAUGUUGCAGUUGCAUCAGUUGAGGAUAAACUAGAAAUUCUGGCUUCGUCAAAUUAAAUUAGUGGUAGAUGUGCUCAUUGAUGAGGCGGCUAAACUUUCGUAUGAUUUAGUUGUCUUGCCAGUGAGUUGGGGUGCUUACUCUUGCUUCAUAGUCUUUACCACAUUAUUGACUUACUAACUACAAUUUAUCCAUGCACAUUGCACAGGGUGGACUUGGUGGCGCUCAAGCAUUUGCGAAGUCAGAUAAAUUGGUGAAUAUGCUAAAGAAGCAAAAGGAAUCAAAUAGACCUUACGAUGCUAUAUGUGCAUCCCCAGCUUUAGUGUUGGAGCCCCGUGGCUUACUCAAGGUACGACCAUUUCUGCUUAAAUUAUUUACUCAGAUUUGGAUCACCUAAUCUGAACUUGAUGAGAGAUUAUGAUGUUGUAUGAUUUUAUGAAUGUGGUCUUAUCUCAUGUAAGUCAGUGAUGAAUUAAUUGGAGUUUGUUGACAAAUUAGAAGCUGAAAAACUGCUGCUGCUUCGUUAGUUACAUUACCCAAAGAGUUAAAAUUAACAUCACAAAUUUGUUAUCCCAAAUGAUAUGGCAUUUAUUGAGUGAUUGGUAUUAAUUGUAUUAUCUAACCCACCAACAGAUGAAUGCCGCACCAUUUGAGACGAUCUUUUGGGAUAAAAAAUUUGGGAAGUGCAGCAAAUUUUUAUGCCGAUUUUUUUUGGCUUCAUUCAUGUAAACUCCUCCCCCCCCCCCCCCAAAAAAAAAGGAAAACCAGCAAACACCAAAAAAAAAAAAUUCUGAAGUACUUCCCUUAAUAUCAUUCCUGUGUAUUUCUUUUCCCCUCAAGACAUAUUUAACUUUGGUUCAGGGUAAAAAAGCUACAGCUUUUCCUGCCAUGUGCAACAAGCUGUCAGAUCAGAGUGAAAUCGAAAACAGAGUUGUGGUUGAUGGCAACCUCAUCACCAGUAGAGGGCCAGGAACUUCAAUGGAGUUUGCACUGGCAGUUGUGGAGAAGUUUUUUGGCCGCAACAAGGCACUUGAGCUUGCAAAGAUAAUGCUUUUCACUCGCGCCUAACGUUUGUACCGGGACCUGACUACUAUUAAACUAGUGUGUUUAUUUCUGUAUUACUACUGCUUGUAGAGAGGGGAAACGGAAACUUGAAUUCAUGUUUGAAUAUGGAUUCACUGUGUCGGUUUGUACAGCAGUUUGGUUUAUAAAUAAAUGAGUUCAUAGAGUCAUUUCAAAUAUUUGGAAUAAACCUGAGUUUAGUUCUGUUAUCAAUGGUCGGAGUCCAAUUGCGAUCGACUCACUGGGAAUUUUAAUUAUG
This 65283-nucleotide long non-coding RNA is filed under the name Citrus maxima (pomelo). Its description in RNAcentral is "long non-coding RNA (CMAX_LNC003046)". The record is from RNAcentral. Lineage: Eukaryota; Viridiplantae; Streptophyta; Magnoliopsida; Sapindales; Rutaceae.